This 60102-nucleotide long non-coding RNA is filed under the name Lupinus angustifolius (narrow-leaved blue lupine). Its description in RNAcentral is "long non-coding RNA (LANG_LNC002122)". Lineage: Eukaryota; Viridiplantae; Streptophyta; Magnoliopsida; Fabales; Fabaceae. The record is from RNAcentral.
GAAGAAGAGUCUUUCAAAAAUAUCAUUGGCUACACUUUUUGGUAAAUUGCAGGAACAUGAGUUAGAAUUAAGCCAACUUGAACAACAUGAAGAACAAGAGAAGAAACACAAAUCAUAUCCUUAAAGGUGAAAGUGGACUCAUAUGACACAUCCGAAGAAGAGUUAGAUGAAGAUGCCAUGGAAUACGUGAACAUGAUGAUAAAGAAGUUGAACAAGUUUCUCAAGAGAAAUAAAGGUGUCGAGACUGGCCCAAGUAAGAACUCAUAAAGAGAAAUGAAGCAUCAACAUCAGGAUAAAACUUCACCUGCUUUGAGGGUGGAAAGCCUGGUUACAUCAACAAUUUCAAAAGGAAAGUAUCCAUAAAAAUUAUUUUUAAAAUCAAAAUCAAGGAUAUAUCAACAUCAACCCACUUGCUUUUAUUGUAAAAAUGUAGGUCAUACCUCUAUUCAUGUUAUAUUAUAAAAGUUGAUAUUCCAUUUUGCCGAUAUAUCUAGAUUGAGAAAUGUGCUAAACCCUAUAGGACCCAAAUCGUAUUGGGUACCUAAUAAAAACUUUUAACUUGUUUUGUAGGAGUACUUGCAUGUUGUAAAUGAAAUGUGCUUGCAAUAGUGACUGAGUUUUUUAGAUUUACAUGGAUGUUGUUUUUAGUGCAUAAAAAUGAAGCUUUUCAUAUUUAUCCCAAACUAUGUUGAAUGAACCUAACUUUCCCAAAUACUUUUGGGUUGAUGCAGUUAGUACUACUUUUAUGUCUCUUAUAGAGUUUUGAUUAGGCAUAUUCUCAAGAAAAUACCUAUGAACUUUAUAAAGGUAUAAAACCUAAUAUAGCUCAUUUGUAUGUCGUUGGGUGUAAAUGUUUUGCUCUAAUAAUGGAAAAGACAAUCUUCAUGAAUUUGAUCAAAAAUUCGAUGCAUGCAUCUUCUUGGUUAUUCUCUGACUAGCAAAACAUAUAGAAUUUUUAAUAAUAUAACAUUCACCAUAGAAGAGUCUAUGCAUUUAUCAUUUGAUGAAACUAAUCCCUCCAAGGAGGAAAAAUGUUUUUGAUGGUGAUGAUUUACCAAGCUCAUCACAAAUUGAAGUUCCAAAUUUUUGAAAACUCAAUAACAUAGAGCAAAUGAAAUCUGAUGAUGAUCUACCUCAACAAGAAAAUAAAAUAAAUUCUGAUCAUCUUAUUGACAACAUCAUUGGCGACAUAAACAUGAGAGUAUCCAUUCGAUUAAUCUAAAUGAUGCUUGACUUAAUAUGGUUUUUGUCUCUCAAAUAGAACCAUCUAAAACAUAUGCUGCUAUAGAGGUUGAGCAUUGGAUUCUUGCUAUGCAAGACAAACUCAAUCAAUUUGAGAGAAACUAGGUUUUGAUACAUGUGCCUAGACCUAAGAAUAGGCAAAUCAUAUGAACUCGACAGGUAUUAAGAAAUAAGGCUAGACAUGAGGGAAUUUAGAAAAGAGGGAAUUGAUUUCGAUGAGCAUUUCCUUCUAUGGCUAGACAUGAGGCCAUAAGAUUGAUAUUAGCUUAUGCAUUUUCAUGAAACUUUUAACAAUAUCAAAUGGAUGUUAAAUGUUAUUUUCUAAACAGUUAUAUACAAUAAGAAAGAGGAGGUGUAUGUUGAACAACCUUAAGGUUUUGAGGACUAUAAACAUUCCUCCUAUCUAUAUAAACUAAAGAAAGCUCUUUACGGUUUAAAGCAAGCUCCUAGAGUCUGGUAUGACAGAUUAACUACUUUUUACGUGAAAAUAGUUUUGAAAAGGGUAAGGUCGAUAGAACAUUAUAUAUUAAGAAAAUGGAUCAUCACCCACUACUUAUUCAUAUUUAUGUUCAUGAUAAUAUUUUCGGUUCUACUAAUGAAGAUUCAUAUAGUGAAUCUGUUAAGAUGAUGCAAGGUGAGUUCGAAAUGUCCAUGAUGGGGAAGUUGAACUACUUUGUCGGACUACAAAUCAAAUACACAAGAUGUCAUCGUUGUGAAUCAAUCCAAGUACUCCAAAUAUCUACUUAAAAAAUUUGAAAUGGAUGAAUUUAAAAUCACUGCUACUCACAUUGGCUCAAAUACUUACAUCGAUACUUAUGUGGCUGGAAAAUGUAUUGACAUCCCUAAGUAUCAAGAAAACUUAGCUUUUCCUUCUUUUUGUUAAAGUUAAAAGUGGGAGUAAAGUUGGACUUGCUUUUUUGAUUAAUUUUUCAAGGAAAUAAUUCUAAAAACAAAGGGAGAGCAUACAAGAUAGAGAUAGCGUACACAAACUUAAGAGCUCACAUAUCAGGAUAGAAGUAUGCAAAUCAGGAAACUCAUUGUCAACAUGAUAUUGAUUUGUCAUCAUCAAAAGGAGAAAUUGUUAAGAAGGUCUUGCUCUCGACCUUGGCCUAGGUUUUCAUGAAGACACCAGUGUCAACAAAAACAAGAAAAAGGAUUUGAAAACCAUGAAGACUUAGAAGCAUGUUCAUCAAGUGAACAAGAAUUUUAGCUUUCUAAGUUAGAUACCUCUAACCUUAAGUCUCUUAACUUAAGUAAUGCUUAAAUGCUCUUAGGAAUGAUUUUCAAAGUUUUGAAAAGAUUAAUUCGGUUUGAAAAUGAUUUUAAAAGAUUGAAAACAAAUUUUCAAAAAAAUUUUGAAUAAGAAGUUACUUGAAAUUGAAUAACAAGUUAUCGGGACUGAGUAAUCGGUUAACCAAGAUGAGUAGCACGUUACCAGACAAAAAUAAGGUAGAGUAACUAAUUAAUCAAUUUGUAGAUGAUUACUCGUCGAACAAAAGCAUAAGCUAACCGAUUACACCAGGCAUAUAAUCAAUUACUCAUAGCUAUUACAACAAUUUUCAUAUUCAAGCUAAAACACCUUCUUCCAAACUGAAUCAAUGUCUCUCGAGUCAACUCUACCUCUUGGAAUGAGUAUUUUGGCUGGUUGGAAACCUAUUUCAACACCCUUGACAUUAAGAUUUGAAAUCAAUCAAUCAUAUAACUUUUACAUACAAUUCACACACGCUUUUGCCACAACUUAAGGAAUUUUUUUUAUUUCUUGAAAAGUUGUCGAAGUGUUUUCACACCAUGUUUUAUGCACUUGAUUUUUAUCUGGAAAGACUAUAACAUUUGUGUGUUACUUAGAAUUAUUACUUAAAAGGAUUGAGAACAUAAGAGUUAUUUUUAUUAGCAAUCCUUAGCCCUAGAUAGAAAGCUCUUCAUGUAUCAAAUUAUUGUAAAUUCACCAUAAGGUGUGGUGAAGGGAAAGAGCAUUAAUGAGGAAAUGGUGUGCUUUUUUAUUUGUGAUAUCGGUGAGUAAUAAUCUGAGACAAAGUCUUGGUGUAAUAUUUUUAAGAUUAACAUUCAUUACAUAGUAAAAUUUCUUGUGGUUUCCAAGAUGACUAGAUGUAAUCUUUGGUGGAUAAAAGGUGAACCAUGAUAAUUGGUGUUACCUAUUUUCCCUUACUCUUUUAUAAUCUGCACUUUGAUUUUUGCUAACUUAAGCCUUUCGUUGCAUAUGUGUGUUUUAAGUUUUACAAGUUUCAAAUAUUUGUACUUGAGUUACAGACAACCGGAAAACUAAUUCACCCCCUCUUAGUUUGUCAUCUAGACUUACAUUCUACACUCAUUUACCCUAGAUCCUUAAGGAUAAUCAUACGUCAUGCUAGUAAUGUUAAAUAAGCAUUGUGUAACACCUUAUUUUGAAUAAUAUUAAACUAGGAGAAACACAUCCAACACAAAAUUCAAUACCAUUUAACUUUCCUUAAUGUAUAGGAAAAACACCUCAAUAUUAAAAUUAAAAAAUAAGUAUUAUUAACUUAAAUCAAUAUUAUAAAUUGGACUUUAUCUAAAGAGUAUAAGGAGAGAAUCUUAAAAUACCCUCAACAUUUAAAUGGAUUCUUAAAAUAACAAGAUAAAACUAUGAAAUAUCAAUAAGUUAUCAUGUACAAUAGUCGCUUGUCUUCGGUCCUUCCACCAAGUACUCACUUAUUUCUUAGAAGAUCCUAGAAAUGUCAAAAACUAAAGUAUAGUAAGAUAAAAAUCUUAGUAAUACAAUAAUAUCAAAACUUUAGAAAAUAAGAGACUUCUAGCCAUAAUAAGUACAAAAAAUCUCUAGAAAGAAAUGUAAAAGAGAAAAUUAGCAAUUGUCUCACUUUUCUUCAAAAUAUAGUUUAUUGCUCAUCACUUAAAUAUGAAUAUGUGGAGUAUAAGUCAGUCACAUCACAACACUUGAUUCAGUUUGCAAAGGGCAUUAAUCAUCUCAAACCUCGAGUCCUUGAUUAAAAGUUUGCACACUGUAUGCAUGUUGGAGGUUCAAGCCCCUCACUCGGUGCUCCAAGUUCGUUGAAAUGUAUUACUCCAUUUCUAGAAAUAAGCUCGUAUUUAUGGGAAUGAGAAUUCCUUUGCAUAUGCUCAUGCCAAUCAGUGGAAACUAAUGUUCAAUCAACAAGCAACAUUAUUGAGUCAUGGAUCCCUCAACAAUCAAUAUAAUUAGGUAUCCCUAAACAAUCAAUAUUAUUUAUAUGCAACAAAGACGGGAAUAUAGAAUUAAACAUUAAAUGUUUGAACAUUCUCAUUUUACUAUAUAAUUAUGAUACAUAUUUAAUAUACAUUGAUUUAUUAAAGAAUUCACUGUUAUACAUGUUGUGUAAUGGCUCAUAUUCUUUAGAUAAUUGUAAUAUGAGUUAUGAGCUUGGGCUAAUGUAAAGGGGUUGGGGGUAGGGGCUAUAUAUUUAUGUUAUGUAAAUCUAAUGUAACAAGGAGAAGAAUAGUCAAACACCAAUCUUUAUUCUCUAAUAAUACUUAGUUGUAGCCUCUCAACGCUCCUACGGGCGUAAGCACAAUUGACUGAAUCUCUCGUUACCAAAUUCUUUGUGUUAUUCUUUUUUCUCUACUCUUUUUACUAUUUGAUUGUUCACUUUUUCCCAACAAUUGAUAUUAGAUGGCUCUUAACUGAUGCGCCAAAUUCGAGGUGGGGAAGUUUGAUGGAACUGGUAAUUUCGGAUUGUGGCAAAUGAGGGUUAAGGAUGUGUUGGCUCAACAAGGUCUAUCAAAGGCACUGCAUGAAAAUAAACCAAAUGGUAUAGAUCAACUAGAUUGGGAAGAGUUGAAAGAGAAGGUUGCGGGAACCAUACAACUCUAUGUAUCAAAUAUGGUGAUGUAUCAUGUUAUGGAUUUGACGUCACCAACAGAGCUAUGAGAGACAUUAGAGAAGCGGUUCAUGUCCAAGUCUCUAAAAAAUAAGUUGUCUUUGAAAUUAGGAGGGUGCUGAUUUGCAACAACAUCUCAACAAUUUUAAUCAAGUGAUCAAUGACUUGUAGAAACUUGAUGUGAAGGUUGAUAAUGAGGACACAACAAUAAUAUUACUAUGUUCUUUGCCAAAUUUCUAUGAAAACUUGGUGACAACAUUGACAUACGAGAAAGACUCAAUCUAACUUGAUGAUAGCACAUCUGCACUUCUGUCUCACACUCAAAGAAGACAGAAUGUAGGAGAAGGGUCUCAAAGUGAUGGUCAGCAUGUGAAAGGGAGUCAAGUGCAUGGGAGGAGACAAGGUAGAGGAGGUCCUUCCAAAUGGGAAAGACCAAAUUCCAGGGGCAGAACACACUAGAAUUCUAUAAGUGCAAAGAAACUGGGGAUUACAAAAAGGAUUGACCAAAGGAAUGGAGUCCUAGCAAGCCAGUGGGGAAAGAUGGAGUAUCUACAUCUAUAAAUGUUGCAGAGAAAGAUGACUCUGGUUACAAUAGUGAAGUUGAUCUACUAUUUAUAUCAUCAAAUCAUAAUGCAGAUGAGUGGAUACUUGAGACUAGUUUUCCCACCAUAUGACACCAAACAGAGAAUGGUUCACCAUAUAUAGGGCAAGCAAUUUUGAUUUCGUGUAUCUCAGAAAUAAUAAAGCAUGUGAAAUUAUUGGCAUGGGAGAAAUCAGAAUUGUGAUAGAUGAUGGUGUAGUGAAGAUAUUAUGUGAGGUUAGGAAAAUACCAGAUUUGAAGAACAAUUUGUUUUCUUUGGGGACAUUGCAGACCAAAGGACUUAGCUAUAGAGUUGAUGGGGAUAAUGAUAUUCUUCAAGUAUGCAAAGGUUCUUUGAUUGUGAUGAAGGAUAAGAGAACUGCGGGGAACACUUACAAGCUUUUAGGGAGAUCAUUUGUAGGUGGAGUUGCUGGAGUGGCUGAAGAGAUCUCAGUGGAUUCAAACUAUGGUGCUAAAAAUUAUGGCACAUGCGUUUGCGACAUAUUAGUGUACGUGGCAUGACAUAACUAUGAAAAAAAAGGAUUGUUGUGGGGAGUCAGCAAUUGCCAACUUCAUUUGAGCAAGUAUUGUGUGCUUGGGAAACAGACAUAUGUUAGUUUCAAGGCUGGCCAACAUAGGACUCGUGGUAUUCUAGACUAUAUCCACACUAAUGUAUGGGGGCCCACUCAGGAACCAUCCCUAGGAGGUUCUAGGUAUUUUCUUAUCUUCGUUGAUGACUUUUCUCGCAAGGUUUGGGUAUAUUUUUUGAAGCAUAAGUCAAAAGUCUUUGCCAAGGUCAAGGUUUGGAAGGUAGAGUUAGAGAACUAGACUGGUAGAAAAAUCAAAUACCUGAGGUCAGACAAUAGUAUGGAGUACAAAGACUCACAGUUUCGAAAAUUCUAUGAGGUACAUGGCAUCCAUAGGCACUUUUCAGUGAAGUAGACUUCUCAGUAGAAUGGUGUUGCAAAGAGGAUGAAUAGAACUCUUACAAAGAGGGCCAAAUGUAUGAGACUGACUGCUGGACUUUCCAAAUGAUUUUGGGCAGAUGCACUUAGUAUGGCAUGCUAUGUCAGCAAUAGGUCACAGCAGGCUACAUUGGAUAGUAAAGUUGCAGAAGAAGUAUGGAUAGGUAACCCAGUCAAUUAUAAUAUAUUACACAUAUUUGGUUGUCAUCCUUAUGUAUAUUUACCUAAUGAUGAACGAUCUAAACUUGAUCCCAAGUCAAAGAAGUGUAUCUUCAUUGGGUAUACCAAAGGUGUGAAGAGGUUUAAGUUCUGGGAUCCAGUUUCCAGUGGUGUUGAGCAGAGAUACAGUAUUAGAUGAAGACUUCAUGUUGAAACAAUCAGUUUUGAUAGAGGUGUCCAAGCCAACUGGAGAUAAUUUGGGAUCAAAUAUGUUUUCAGUGAAGAAUGAAAUGGUUCAUGUGAAUAAAGGCAAGGAACCAUGCACUUGUUCAAGUCAAGAACAUGAUGAUUCUUAGGCGGAGAGUUCAAGUGUGUAGGAGUAUCUACUUGUUAGAGAUAGAGAUAGGCAUCAUGUCAAACCUCUAGAGAUACAUGGCUUUUGUUGCUCUCCAUAUAAGCUCGGAUGAUCCAUGUAGCUUUCAAGAGACUAUAAACAGCCAGAAGAAAUAACAAUGGAUGGGUUCCACGAUGGAGGAGAUGAAGUCUUUACAGAAGAACCAAACUUGGGAGCUUGUCCCAUUACCUCCAAACAAGCGUGUAGUUAGGUGCAAGUGAGUAUGCAAGAGGAAGCCAACAAUAUCAAAAAAAGAAGGGGAAAAGUUCAAGGCUCUUCUUGUAGAAAAAGGGCAUUCACAACAAAAGGGGGUCGGCUAUAGUGAGAUUUUCUUCCCAUUGGUGAGACACGCUUCUAUCAGGGCAGUGCUUUCCUUGGUAGCCAACCAGGAUAUACACAAAGAACAAAUAGAUGUCAAGACUGCCUUUCCCCAUGGUGAAUUAGAGGAGAAAAUUUACAUGACACAACCAGAAGGGUUCAGUGCAGCUAGACAAAAUCAUUUGGUUUGCAAGUUGAAGAAGUCUCUAUAUGGGUUGAAGUAGUCUCCCAGACAAUGGUACAAGAGGUUUGACACUUAUAUAUUGAAGCUUGGUUACAAGCGUUGUGAGUAUGAUUGUUGUGUUUAUGUGAGAAGUCUUGAUGAUGGUUCUUUUAAUUUUCUACUAUUUUAUGUUGAUUAUAUUUUGAUUGUUGCUAAUCAUUUGAGUGAUAUCAAUGAGCUGAAAGUCAUGCUAGGUAAGGAGAUUGACAUGAAAGAUUUAGGGGCUUCUAGGAAGAUUCUUGGAUGGAGAUUCACAUGGAUAUCGGAGCUAGUAAACUAUGGCUCUUCCGACAAAGCUAUGUUGAAAAGAUCUAAGAGUGAUUUGAUAUGAGCAAUGCUAAAGUAGUGAGCACUCAAUUGACAAACCACUUCAAGCUUUCCCUAGACUAGUGUCCAAACACAGAUGAAGAGAAGAAGUACAUGUCAAAGGUUCCAUAUGCUAGUGCAGUGAGUUGCUUGAUGUAUGCUAUGGUUUGCACUAGACCGGACUUGGCACAAGAAGUUAGUCAAGUAUGCAUAUACAUGUCAAAACUAGUGAAGCAACAUGGGGAAGCAGUCAAAUAGAUUUUCAGAUGUUUGUAGGGGACUACAAGUCAUAGUAUCAUGUUUGGCAGCCAACAGAGUAAGUCUUCAAUUGUUGGUUAUGUUUAUUUGGACUAUGCAGGAAACUUGGAUGAUAGAAGGUCCACAACAAGGUUUAUCUUCACCCUUGCAGGUGGACUAAUUAUAUGGAGAUCAUCAGUUCAGCAUGUUGUUGUUAUGUCCACAACUGAAGCAGAGUACAUGGCAGUUGGUGAAGCUUCUAAGGAAGCCAUAUGGAUUAUGGGGCUGGUAAACGAAUUAGGCAUUGAGCAAGGUAAAGUUUCGCUCCAUUGUGACAGUUAGAGUGUUAUCUUCUUGGCAAAGAACCAAAUGUAUCAAGCUAGGACCAAACAUAUUGAUGUGAGAUUUCACAAGAUCAGAGAGUUUGUAGCUUGUGGACAGAUAUUGUUGUAGAAGGUUCACAUUUUAGAAAAUGCAGCUGAUAUCUUAACCAAACUAGUUAUUGUGGACAAGUUCGGGCAUUGCAUGAGCGUGCUGAACAUUUACUGAUGUUGGAUUAUGGAGCGCCCCCAACCCAAUGACGAAAGAUGGAGAUCGAUAAUAUUCGCCAAGGUGGAGAUUGUUGUGCAAUGACUCAUAUUCUCUAGAUAACAGCAAUACAAGUUAUGGGCUUGGGAUGAUGUAAACGGGUUGGGUAGAUGUCUAUAUAUUUAAGUUAUGUAAACCUAAUGUAACAAGGAGAAUAAUAGUCAAACACAAAUCCUUAUUCUCUAAUAAUACAUAGUGGUAGCCUCUCAGUGCUAUCGAGGAUGUAAGCACAAUUGACCGAAUCUCAUUACCAAAUUCCUUGUGUUAUUCUCUUUUCUCUACUCUUUUUACUAUUUGAUUGUUUGCUUGUUCCCAACAAUAUAUAUAAAACCAUAUCAUUAACACUUAGAUUACAUAAAAGGGUUAGACAUAACUAUGUUGUAACUUCUAGAACUUUCAAACACAAUAUGUUAUACUCGACAAGAUGGAAGAGAAUGUGGCUUUUUGAUUAUAUGAUUAUUUCAUAUAGUCUCAAAAUGAAAUAUACAUGUGACAUAUAUGUUUUGAUAUAAAUUAUGAAACACGACAUUUAAAUUACAAAUCAAUGUUAUAAAAACUGUUUUUUGUCGGUUGGUUCAAUCGGUAAACCGGAGAAUCAAUCUCAAUACUGGUACGAUGCAACAAUUAUAUCGGUCAUGUAAUCAUAUUGCUCAUAAACUAGUCAAAAUCGGUUAUACUGACUGAUUUUCAAUUGAACCGUAUCGGUCAUACCAACUAGUUUCAUUUAAAUUAUUUUUUAAUAAAAUGACUUAUUUUUACCAAAAUGUUGGUAUGGUAAUCAAACAUAGAAUUAAUACAUUUUUAUACUUCUAAAAUAUGGUCUACCAUCACGUGAUACACUUUUUAUUUUAAAUUUUUUUAUAAAUAAAAGUUUUUACUGUCUUCUUUAUUGUUUUUUAACACUAACAUUAGUAUAAAAUAUAUGUAUAUUUAACUUCACCGAUAUGCGAUUUACUUAAUGAACCACCUGUUGAACCAUUGUAUCACUAUCCUAUUAUCCUGACCAAUGUAAUAAAAGAUAGAAUAUUAAUAAAAUUGUUACAAAUGAAGUUCAUAUGGCCAUUAUAACAUCCAUUGGUAUAAGUGAUUAAAUAUAUGAUAAAAACAUUUAUUUGAUUUAUGCACAUUGCACAUAACAUCAUAUAGAAUCCAAAAUUAAGAAACAGAGAAGGAAUAUGGCACCAAAUCAUAAUCAAUAGAUAUAUGAGCACUAACAAUUAUGAUUGUGAUUUUUCUUUGUACGUAUUCCAUAUAAAUUAAUUAAAGAACAUAAUACAAUUAAACAAUGAUUUCCAAUAAUGGGUUUUAGGGUUUCUUGUAUUACCUCAUAAUGGAUUGAUGUUAGAAACUUCGUCCCAUCCCUCCCUAUUUUCCUUCUCAUAGUUGCUAGAGUUUUUUUUUUUGGUAACUAAUGGGUAAUUCCAGAUAUCUAUUGAUAAAGUAACUUAAUUUCCUAUACUUAUUAUUAUGCUACCUUAAUCCUAACAUAUUUAAACAAUAUCAUAUUCAUCUAAUUAAUCUUUCUUCCUAUAUUGUAAUAAUACACUUUUCUUUAAUAAUAGAAACAACACCAUUAACUCAAUUAUCUAAAAAAAGUAUUUUAAAAAAUAGUCAUACAUCAAGAAUUUCAUAUAAUCACAUGAUCAUACAUAUUAUUUAACACUAAUUCAAUCUAUCCUUUUCCGGGAUGUUACAAUUCUCCUCUCGAAGAAAUUUUACCAUCGAAAUUUGAAGUCAUUUGGUGUUCAAAAUAAAUUUGGAUACUUCAACCUCAUCUCCUCCCCAAGCUCCCAAGUAGCUUCUUUCGAAUUGAAUCCACCCUAGAUAACCUUGACCAAAAGGAUUGCCUUACUCCUCAGUGCUUUGGUAUUGUGAUCGUCAAUACGCAAGGGCCUGGUGUUAUAUCAAAUCAUCUUUUAAUUGUAUCGAUAACUUUGGAGGCAAGACUAUUUGAUAAGAAAUAGUUCUGAUUUUUUUGAGAAUUUUGAACGGACCUAGAAAAAUUGGGUUUAGCUUGUUGACACGAAUUGCUCUAUCUGUCCCAUUUGUUGGGGUGACCCUAAGGUAUACAUGGUCUCCUUCCUGAAACUCUAAAGGUCUUAUUCUUUUAUAAGAAUAAAUUUUUUGUCUACUUUGAGCAUGAAAAAUCUUUUCUUCAUCAACACAAUCUUUCUUUUAGUCUCGGAUACUACUAGAUCAGGUUCUAAAAUGGCUUCCUCUCCAACCUCAAACCAAUAAAAUAGGCACAUACACUUUUUUCAUAGAGGGCUUCAUAAGGUGUCAUCCUAUUACUGGAAUGAUAACUAUUAUUGUAGGCAAACUCUAUCAAAGGGAAGUAUCUAUCCCAACUACCUCCCUCGUCUAAAACACAACCUCUAUGCAUAUUUUGUAAUGUUUGAAUGGUUUUCUCAUUUUGCCCAUUAGUUUGUGGAUAGUAAGUUGUACUAAGGUUUAUCAUAGUUCCAAAAACCUCUUGAAAGGCCUUCCAAAAUUUAGAGGUAAAUCUAGGGUAUCCAUCAUAAUCAAUAUUGGGGGGUACACCAUGAAGUCUAAUUAUCUCCUGAAUAUAGAGUUCUGCAUACUUUUCAAGUGAGAAACUUGCUCUAAUGGAAAGGAAACGUGCUUACUUAGUUAAUCUAUCAAUGAUUACCCAAAUGACAUCAUGCAUUGUUUGGGUUAAGUUAAACCUAUGACAAAGUCCAUAGAAAUAUUGUACUACUUCCAUUUAGAUAUUACUAAAGGCUGAAGCAAACAUGCAUGUUUUUAUUGCUCUAUCUUAUCAUGUUGACAAACUAGACACUUAGCUUCAACCAUAGCAACAUCCUAUUUUACACCAGGCCACCAAUACCUUUCUCAAAUCUUGGUACAUCUUGGUGGCAAAGAAAUGCACAAUCAAUAUACCUUUAUGAGCUUGUCCUAGGAUUUUCCGCCUUAGGCUCCCCUCCUUAAGAACACACAAUUUACCACGAAACAAGAUAAAAUCUUAUUGACUCUUAUAAAAUCUCGACUCAUGUAGUAUCAAACAUAAUUAGCCUUAAACUAAGAGUACCUAAGGUCACAUUAUAACACCCUGAUUUUACAACUAAGAAAUUAGUAUUUUAUUAUUAAAAUAUGAUAAAAGUUUAUAGAAAAGUUAAAGUCAACAUGUUAGAGAAUUUAAGUAGAUUUAAAACUUUUUCAGUGACAAUCUCAAGAUUUGGAAACAUUCAAUAUUAUCUUUACCAAAAAACGAUGCAUUAUGUUCAACCUCAAAACUCAACUAUAAAUAUAAUUAUGCAUUUCUAAUUAUGAAGCUUUACAAAAUCAUUAAUUUCAUCCUAACAAGAUGAUUAUAAAAAAUCAUAUGUGCCAAAAAUAAUAUUUCUUAUAUAUUUUUCUUAAAAUAUAACUUGUAUAAUAAUUAGUUCAAAAGGCUAGGGGUAUUCCUAAAUCAGAGUCAAUAAUCCCAACAUAAACAAGAUACUUAACUAUACAUCAACUAAGUUUUUCUUGUCUAUAUUUCUAUCAAUGGAUAUCCAAAGUGAAACUACAUUAAACCUGUUCAUAUACAAAAUAUAGACAAAAGAAAAGACACAAAAGGGAGUAAGAACCAACUAGGACGACCGCGACAUGGAAUUACAUAGAGAAGUAACAUUAAAGUGAGACAACCUAUAACACAACUAUAACCAAACAAUGUCAAAUGUAUGCAAAUGAUGCAUGAAGUUAGUAUCUUAUACAAUAGGAUACUCACAUCCCCAAUUAAUAUAUCUUUCAUGCAAUGCAAUAUGGAUUUCAAACAACUAAUCUCCAUCAAAAUUCCUGAAGUCCAAGAUCCUAGUGGGAAAGCAAUCGGGAUUACUUUAACAACUGAAAGUAACAAUAUCAAUUGGUGUCCAGUACCUCUAUAUGAGGUGCUUACAUGAUAAGCUCAGUUCGUUUCUAGAAUCCUCUCUAUCGAUCAUGAAAUGUGCAAGAGGGUGUUAGAGAUCACUUAGUUUUCAUGUAGGACUAUCUUGGUCAUAUGGAUAAUGAACUUGGACCCUCAUUAGACUAUCCCACUUAUGCAAUCCCUCAAGGCUUCUGGAUAAAUCACCGUCAUUGCUACCUCUAUCCAAAUCUGCAAUGAUAUUUCUAUCACCACAUCUUUCCAUUUUCUCCAACUCCAACUACAUGAAUGCAAUGCAUGCGCACUAACAGAAGUUAGCUCAUUAAGUCUUUCACAACUUUUAUUUCAUCAAGUAUCACCUAAGUUAGUCGUCUCGGUCCCAAUAUAUUUCUAUCAUGCCAAGUCCAAUGAACGAGUUCAAGAUGCUAACUUAGUGAUGAAAAUAUAAUUAGGAAAAGCCCCAAAUCUCACGAUACUUUCAAGUAUGUGAUUAACCAUUGCCUCUCAACAAAUCCAAUCUUUCCAAAAUAUCACAUAAGUUAGUUGUCUUAGCCCCACUGAAUUUUUACUAUGCUAUAUCCUCAGGACGAGCUCAAGACACUAACUUGGUGAUCCAAUAUCAACAAGCAAAACCCCAAUUUUAGACUUAUAUGUUUUCCAUGUUAAUAUAACAAUUAACUUAUGUAUUUUUAUAUCAAUACAACAAUCAACAUUUAUAUUUUCCAUAUUAAUACAACAAUCAACUUAUGUAUUUCUCAUAUCAAUACAACAACUGACUUAUGUAUUUCCCAUAUCAAUACAACAAUCAACUUAUAUAUUUUCCAUAUCAAUACAACAAUCAACUUAUGUAUUUCCCAUAUAAAUACAACAAUCAACUUAUGUAUUUUCUGAAAUGGCGAAUAGUCAAAGGUUGCCUUUAUGAUAGACCUACAUAGUUUUGAUGAAGACAAGGAGUUAAAUGGAAGCUUGAAGAUAUGGACAUCAUAAUAAACAACAUGCCAAAGACUCGAGGUCAACAUCAUAGACUUAGGAUUAUUUUAAUAUUCUAGAAGCCCUAAGAUGAUUGCCUAGUUUUGAGUCUAGGUUAGGUAAACCUUAGGUGGAAGUCUCACAAGAGUUUAAAAUGAAAUUCAUAUAGAUUGAGGCAUCACAUCUAAACAUAUAUGAUAAGUAGAAUCAUGCAUAAGCAUUAAGCAUACAUGGUUUUUUGGCAUAAAAGUUGUAUCUAUUUCAAAAUUAUGUAUUGCAUGUUCAUUCAUCAUAUAGAGAGUUUACCAUGCAUUAAUGAAAAACCAAUUUCAUAAAUAUUAAUUCAUUAAAAUGGUUUAUAAUCGAUUAUGUCUUGUGGAAAUCCGUUAAUCGAUUAAGGAUUGGUGUAAUCAAUAAAAAGGAGUUAUAAUGGCUAACUUCCUAGGAUUUCUGGCUUAUUAAUUGAUUAAAGAAAAAACGUUUUGCAUAAACACGUUAGUCGAUUAAGAUAGUGGAUAAUCGAUUAAUUUCAGGUAAAAUCAAUUUCAUAUAAAAGCUGCAUUUUCAACCCAUGUGUAUUAUCAAGAAGAUUAAUAAUUUUCAUUGAGAGAAAGAAAACCAAGAUUCUCAGUACAAAAAUUUCAUAUCAUCUUGCUUAUUCUUUGAGUGAAAGAAAGUGAAAUCUUGCAUUGUUUUCUAGAGAGAAAAGAGAGAAAGAGAGAAAAACUUUUUUCUAGAGUGCUUCAGUUUUCAUUCAAUGAAAAAUCACUGCAUUAUGUAACAUUUAGUUUUAGGCUUAUUGUGAGAGUUCUGAAGAGGUUUUUAGAGUUGAGUUCAGAGUUUAUAUCCGCAUGUUAAGUGUCCAUCAAUAACUCGACAAACAUUGUAAAAAACAAGGAUUGGUUCUCUUAAUGUGUUAGUAUCAUCUUGAAAAUAGUGUUAGGUAUCAGUGGACAGAACACACCUAGAAAAGGGGGGUUGAAUAGGUGCAGCGGUUAUCAAUUACUGCUUUUCACACCAAAGCCCUAUUCUGGAAAAAGCCCCAGUUCAUCGAUUAACUCCAAGACUUAAUCGAUUAACGCAUACAAAUACAACAAGAUGCAAACAGGCUUCUUGUACAGCAAGUCACCGACGUUCGGCUUAUUGAUUAAAUGAUAAACAACCUAUAUGUUAUGCUUAUCAACUAUACAUUUUUUAUCAAUAUAUUAUGCCUAAGAUGCACAAGUAACAUGCAUGUUUAAUGCAUGAACACAUAAUGAUCUAGAUUGAAUGUCUCAUGUAAAAGAAAUGAUUACUUUUAAAGCUUGUGAGACUUGCAUCUAGGUUUACCUAACCAAGACUCAAUAUUUAAGGGACACAUCUUAGACUUCUAAAAAAUAACUCUAUUAAGAACCUAGUCUAUAUAGGAAAUCCUUGAGUCCACGGCAUGUUGAUUUGUUGAAUCAUCUUCAAGCUUUCACUAAGUCCCUGUCUUCAUCAAAACAUAGCCAAACUCCAAUAGUGCUCUACUUGACAAUUUGCACUUUCAAUCUCCCCCUUUUUGAUGAUGACAAACUCCACAUCAGAUGUUGUUUGAUGAAGAGCUUGAUGAUGGUUAUAGAAUGCAAUGGUUGUGAAUUCCAAAGUUAAAGCGCAUUGCUCCUCCUUAAUGUAAGUAGGUAGCGAAAACAAACGGAAGCUAAAUUGUACUUUUUACAAUCUGCAAACACAUCAAACAACAAAGCAACAUUUCUCCCCCUUUUGACAUUAUCAAAAAGAUAAACUAAUCAAUAUAGUUAAAAGUAAGAAGAGUUAUGUAGUUAUAACAAAACUAUAAUCAUUUAAUUAAUUUGGAAAUUUAACUAAUUAACCAGUUAUAAGAAGCUUGAACAAAUGCUCUUGUUAACACCAUUUAAUCGAUUAAAUACAUGGUGUUAAUUCGAUUAAAUGGACAAAAAAUAGUUAAUAAACAAUUUUAAUGGCAUAGAUGGUUAUACAAUAACUAGUUAAGCAUAGAAUGAUUAAGCAUUAAUAUAAUAGCAUGUACACAUCAGGCUUAACCAUACAAAAUAGAUGCAUAUAACCAACAUGGUCAAGAACCAUUAAACACACAUUCAUACUAUUUGUGACAUAAGUAAACAUAUGAUUAAGAAAUUGAAAAGCCAAUAACAUACAAAGUUCAACAGCAUGCAUAUCAAGUUAAAAAAAAAUCCAGCACAAGUACAAUAGUAGCUAUUACAAACCAACAAGUCAAAGUAGGAAAUAAGUCUCAAAGAGAACAAAGCAACACAAUCCUGAAUUUAGCCAUUAGAAGAAAUAAACCUAAGGUAUCCUAAGGUCUAAAGUCUUCUAACUAAGGAUGAGGUGAAAGGUUUCUGCCAUCAAGAAUUAUCAGACUACCAUCUCCCUUGAUGAGAAUGCUCAGCUUGUUAAACUCUACACAAAACCAGUCAUUAUGUGCCUCGACAGUAGUUUGAACAGAGUUCCUCAAGGACUAAUAGUGAUUAUCAAUAUAAGCAACCUGAUGCUCCUCAAACUGCUCCAAGUCAGUGUCAUAAGAAUCCUUCAAAGACUGAAAGUGCAGAUUCAUUCUGUUGUUCAGCCUCUGCUCCAUAGCAUCCAAAUGAGCUAAUCCAAAAGAAGGUUCAUGCGGUGCACUCCCAGCUAUCUCCCUUGAGUUCCUACAGUCUGCUCAUCCGUCCCAGCCUGAUCAUCAUCUCUAGAUAAUUCUAGAUCCACUAUGGUGUAGUCCUCUUGAUAUUGCCAACUAUUUCCAUACUUGUAAAUACCCAUAUUGUGAAUCAAGCUCUCACCAACAAGGUGAUCUUUAUCAGUAGAUUCCAUUACAAUAGUGUUAGACACAUCGAUGAGCAGAUAAUCAAUAACUCUCAAAAUAAAGAUAUUGUAGGGUAGGAACUUGGAUUGCAAAGUAGUGACACUGUACAUGACCUUAAGGAUCUCUUCUGGCCAAUUUAUCAUGACGUUCUCCUUGACAGCAUACAUGAACCUAAAAUCAUUCACGGUGGGAUGUGCAUGAUUUGUGUUCCUUUGAACCAGAAUAUAUGCUAUCAGAUAGUGCAAAAUUCUAUUCUCCAUAUAUAACGAUCCAGUUUUAGUUAACUCUCCUUGGACAUACAAAUGAGGUCCUCUUAUACAUGACUUAUAAACUUCAGCAGCAUCAAACGAAUUUUUAACCCAAGCACAGGCACCAAUACUAGCACCAUUAGUAGACAAUCCACCCACGUUCAUAAAAAUCUCCUCACUUAACUCAAACAAUUUCCUAGAAAUCAUGGACCAAUAUUUUCCUAAUUUAUUCCUAAAGUUUGCAUAGAAUUCCCUAACUAGAGCAGGGUAUAUGUUUCCUUUUAACUCCAGAAAUAUAACAGCUCCUUGAGCAUGCAUGCCGUGCGAAAAAUCAAAGUUUUAAUCUGUCAUCCUAGUUAAGUUGGCAUACCUGAUAUACGUAGGUUUCCUUCCUUGAAAUUUAGACAACCGGGUCUCCUGCAGAAUGAGGGAGUAGUAAGGGUCUCCACGGUCCUGCCUCAUAUUUGGAUUUGAAGAUGAAGCAAUCGGAGUCCUUAGUGCGUGUUGUGAUGUUGUCUUAAUCCUUUUUGAGCGACCUCCAUCCAUUUUAGAUGGUAAAACCGAGAAGAUUGAGAGGUUUAAGAGGAUUUUGGAAGAAACCUAAACCUAGGGUUUGGAAUUGGGGAAAACGGGUUUCUUGGAAAUUUUGAGAGAGAUUGGAGUUUAAUGAAGUGCAAUAUGGGUAGAGGAUGAGGUUUAAUGUUCGUUUAAGCUAAGGAUUGAAAUUGUGUUGUUACCUCUGAGAUUUAGAGAGAAAAGGGGAUAGAGAGGUUUUAGAAAAGUGCCAAAAAUGUUGUUGUUUCUAUUCUAUACGUUGUCGUUAAUCGAUUAAGUGUUGCACUUAAUCGAUUAAUCAUAGUUAAAAUUCUACAUUUUUAGAAAAAAAAAGUCCAGGUAAUCAAUUAAGUUGAAAUGUUAAUCGAUUAAUUUUCGUAGAAAAUAAAGUUUUAGCUACUGGAACUUAUUUAAUCGAUUAAGUAGGUUUUUGAGUUUUAAAUGCAUGUUAAGAUUUCUAACCUAUAUUUAACAAUUUUAGGUAAAAACAUAUACAAAUAGAGCUUAUUAUACAAGAUCAUGAAUCAUAUUAGAAAUAGAAUGCAUUCAACAAGUAUUCAUUUUGAAGUAUAGAAGACAUUCAACAUGCGAGGCAGGUAAUAAUCUGCUUCACAAUUUAAUCAUGAUAUUUUUCAUCAAGAAUUUCAAAUUCUCUUCAAAUAACAUAGAAAGUAUCUUGUGAAAGGGGCUUGGUGAAAAUAUUUGCUAAUUGUUUAGUAGUUUCAACAAAUUCAAGCACACAAUCACCUUUUUGAACAUGAUCACGUAAGAAGUGAUGCCUAAUUUCUAUAUGAUUGGUUCUCGAAUGCAAGAUAGGAUUCUUGGACAGGUUUAAGGUACUUGUAUUAUCACAUUUAAUAGGAAUCUUUUCUAGAUUAAGACCAAAGUCCUUAAGUUGCUGCUUCAUCCAGAGGAUUUGAGCACACCACACACUAGCGGCAAUGUAUACCGCUUCGGCGGUGGACAAAGCAACACAAGCUUGACUUUUACUGUGUCAUGCCACUAAGGAACUGCCUAGUAAGUGACAAGUCCCACUAGUACUCUUCUGAUACAACUUACAUCCGAGGAAAUCAGAAUCGGAAUAUCCUACCAAGGAUAGUGAGGCAUCCGUAGGAUACCAUAAUCCCAUAUUUAUAGUUCCCUUUAAAUAUCUCAUGAUACGUUUAACAUCACUAUAAUGUGAGUCUUUAGGUAAUGCUAGAAAUCUUGCACACAUGUAGACACUAAACAUAAUAUCAGGGCGGCUCAUAGUCAAAUAUAAUAAAGAGUCGAUGAUCCCUCGAUACUUGGUUACCUCAAUAGCUUUUUCCUUUUCAUUUUUGUCUAGAUAGCAAGCGGACACCAUAGGUGUAGAAGCUUCUUUACAUUUUUCCAUGUCGAACUUUUUGAGUAGUUCCUUGUAGUACUUCGAUUGAUGAAUGAAGAUGCCACUUUCCAUUUGUUUAAUUUGUUGCCCGAGGAAGAAAGUCAACUCAUCCAUCAUCGACAUCUCAAAUUCUCCCUACAUCAUCUCAGAACUUUUUUUACAAAGAAUGUCAUUAGUAUAUCCGAAUAUUAUAUCAUCAACAUAUAUUUGAACUAACAAUACAUGGUCAUCUAACCUACGGAUAAAGAGAUUAGUGUCAACCAUACCCCUCUCGAACCUUUUUUCUAAAAGAAAAGAACUCAAUCUAUAAUACCAUGCUCUAGGAGCCUGUUUCAGACCAUAGAGAGCCUUCUUGAGUUUAUAAACAUGGUUUAGAUAUUUAAAAUUUUCAAAACCGGGUGGUUGAUCUACAUACACCUCCUCUUGAAUGUAACCGUUCAGAAAGGCGCUCUUAACAUCCAUUUGAAAGAGCUUAAAGUUCAUAAUCGAUGCGAAGGAUAAGAGCAUCCCAAUGGCCUCUAAUCUGGCUACAGGAGCGUAGGUCUCGUCAUAAUCGAUGUUUUCCUCCUGGUUGUAGCCUUUGGCCACUAAGUGUGCCUCAUUUCUUAUGAUCAAGCCAGAUUCAUCUAGUUUGUUACGGAAGACCCAUCUCGUACCAAUCAUUGGACGUUCUUUUGGUUUAGGGACCAUCUCGAACUGGUUUAGUUCUUCUUGCAUAGUUAUACCCCAGUGCACAUCCUCAAUGGCCUCAUCAAUGGUCUUCGACUCGAUCUGAGAUACAAAUGCAACAAAGUUAUAGAAUUUGCAUAAAGAACUACGAGUUACCACUCUUGUAGAGAUAUCACCAAUAACUUUAUCAAGUGAGUGAUCUUUCUUGGUCUUCCACGCGAUCGGCAAGUCUUGAUGCUCAUCCUGGACAAUUUGCUCUACUUCUUCUUCUUUGUCCUGGUCCAUGUCCUUAGAGUAUGCUUCUUCUAAAGCAUCUUUGUCACAAAGUUGGUUGAUACUCAAUAGAUUGUGCUCCAGGCCUUCAACGUAUAGUACAUUCACGAUCACUGCCUGAGUUGAGUUGCCAAUUGUGACAGUGCCAUGUCACUUCCUUUAUCUCCAUACCUGACAAAACCUUUUUCCUUCAAUUAUAGAUAUAGUAAUUUCGAUCUAUCACCAGUCAUAUGCCUCGAACACCCAUUGUCAAGAUACCAAUGUUGCCCAUGUUUUCGUGGACAUAUCUGCAAAAGAGAUCACUUGCUUCUUUCAAGUAUCCAAUUUAUAUUGGGUCCUUUUCUAUUAGUGACUGAGGAGUUAUCUCCCUUUUCACCCAAGCGUAUACACCACUCGACACACCAUACUUCCUGAUAUAACAGGAGUAGGAAGUUUGGCCAUGAGUGCCACAAUAGAAACAUAUAGGAACUUUCUUACUAUAAAAUUUUUUUUUGGUCGAGUUAUUGGUUUCCUAUAUGGUUGUUUCCUACGCGAAGGGGGGAUAUACCCUAAUCCAGUAUGAUCACAAAUGAUUCUAGUUUGACUAAGCAUAGUGUCUAGUUGGUUCUGACUCUCUAUGAGUUUUGUGAGUUUUUCAUUAAGUUUCAAAUUUUCAUUUCACAAAGUCUCGCAAGACUCAUAGACAGUUGAUUGACAUAAUUUAUCAUUUGAGAAAUCGCAUGUAUUACAAGAAAAUAUCAUAUCUAAGGUUUAAUUCUCAAGUUUCAGCUCGUCUAAUUCUUUCUUUAAUAGGACUAUUUUCUGUCCAUUUAUAAGGAUUACGCGUUUUCUAUUGGCACUAAUCCUAGCUAAGUUUUUUAAUUCCGCAUGCAAUUUGACAUAAGCGUUACAUAAGUCCUCAUAAGGAGGUGAGUCGUCAGAAGAAGAUGAGGUGUCAGAGUAUACCUCAUUAUUAGCCUCCUUUGAAUUAUUUGAGUCGUGAACUUCAUUUGUUCUGGUCAUUAGGCAUAGCUUGGAAGUCUCCUCCUCAUUUGAGGUGCUUGAUGUCGUAUCCUCCUCCAGUACAUGCCAGACAAUAUAGGUCUUCUUUGACUUGAAGUCUUGGGGAUUGCUCUUCUCUAAAUCAACUUUCUUGAGGUAAUCUUCUUUCUCUUCAGUAGGUUGAGACAUUGUUGCUUUAAGAGAUAUGUCUUUCUAUACAUUGUUGCCAAAGGCAUGGAGUCAAGAUCAUUGGAUUCCAUGAUAGCUGUGACUUUAGGUUGUCAUCUCUUGUCAAGGCAACAUUAAACUUUAUUAGCUAAUUCUCCUUUGGUGAAAGAUUUUUCUAGAGCAACUAACUGGUUCACUAUAUGUGUGAAUCAUUUUUGCAUGUCGCUGAUAGAUUCACUCGGCAACAUAUGAAACAGCUUGUACUCAUGUGUCAGGGCAUUCAUCCUGGCACGCUUGACUUCGUUGGUGCCUUCUUGAGUCACUUGUAAAGUAUCCCACAUUUCCUUGGCACUUUGACAUUAUGAAACCCGAAAGAAUUUAUCAUAUGACAAGGCCGAUGUGAUGAUGUUUUUAGCAUGUAGGUUGUGUUGAACCUUUAUACGUUCAUCAUCGGUCCAUAAACUCUUGGGUUUUUCUUUCGGUUCAUCGUCCACUAAAUGUAGUGGAAAGAAAGGCUCGUUGACCAUGGAUUCCCAAAUAUCCAAGUCAAUAGCUUCUAUGAAGAUUUUCAUUCGAACUUUCCAGUAGGCAUAUCCGUCGCCAUUGAAUACGGGAAGGCGGUUAAUGGAUGUGCCAUCAUCGUCGAAGGGGUUAGUGGAACCCAUUUAAUUUCCCUUUAGGAUCACGCAUAUGUGGUUGAGCUAGUAUGACGUACUAGCUCUGAUACCACUUGUUAGGUACCAAUGGACAGAACACACCUAGAAAAGGGGGGGUUGAAUAGGUGUAGCCAUUAUCAAUUACCGUUUUUUGCAACAAAGCCCUAUUCUGGAAAAAACCCCAGUUAGUCGAUUAACUCCAAGCCUUAAUGGAUUAACGCAUACAAACACAACAAGAUGCAGACGGGCUUCUUGCAUAGCAAGUCACCGAUAUUCAAGAACAGAUAAUGCAUAUAUUUUUAUACAGAAUUAAACUAGAUACAUCAACCUAACAGUAUCCAAAAUAUCAUCCAAUAUCAUACAAUAAUAAGACUUGAAAUGUGAAGAGAUUAGGGAUAGAAAAAGCUUGCAACAUGGAAAUUUUAUCCUGGUUCAUUUGCGAGUCCAGAACAUCAUGUAUAGUUACAUGCAAACUUCCAAUACAACACUUAGAUGCUCCCUUCUUGAAUCCAAUAACUCACUUUCUUGGUUUGACUAUCUUUCAAUCGCCCAAGAAAACCUUUCUUGCGAUCUAACCCUAACCAAGAACUCGUUCUAAACUCAAGACCUCUAAGUCUUGGUGAAGACACACCGAAUCUCUUAAGUGUUAAGACACUAAGAGACAAAUUCCCUAAUUCAUAACAGAACACAAAAUUGACUUUUAUAAAGCACAUUUUUGAUCAAAAUAUUACAAUGAAAACUCAACUAAAACCCAUAUACAAAACUCAUAAGAUAAUAUGAAUAUGUAUGAGUUUAUGAGAACUUGUGUCUUCACGAGGGCAGGAAGUCUUGGAUAGAAAGAAACUUUGGCUGGGGCCAGAAUCGUGAAAGGUGUGGUAUCCGAGUAGGCGAGUGUGAGGUCGAACCGAGUGAGCAAGCUCAUCAGAUUCAAGAAAAAAAAUUCUUGCUAGGUGUAUUGGAAGUGAAGUGUGAUUGUAUCAAACGAUUGUUUUCUAAUAGUGAAGAAAAAUCUCCUGAGAUCAGAAGGAGAUGUUUGAAUGUAGUUUGCUUGUGGACCCACAAACGAAUCAAGAUAAAAGUCAUUGAUCAUUCUUCUUUCCCUAUCUCUUUUAUAUUUUAGUCUUUAUUGAUUUCUUAAUUGUUUGAUUUCUGUGAUUUGUGCGUAUUGUUAUCAAUCUGUGUUAAAAUCAAGAAUAAAUUUAGGGCAAUAAAGAUUGUUAAUCACCAUUGUUUGCUUUGCAAGAAAUUUGGUUUUCAAGAAUAAAAAGAUACAAUAUCAUCAAUUAAAGCUAUUAAUAAUCGAUUAACUCGAGCUGUGAAUAAUUGAUUAACAAGGUUAAUAACCGAUUAAUAAUAGUAACUUUUUGUUUGGCGCAUAUGUUGGAAAAACGGGACUAGUGAUCCGCUACACCUAUUCACUCCCCCUCUAGGUGUGAUUUACCUUGAUAGUACCAAACAUUUCCUAUAUAAAUAUAAUACAACAAGCAACUUAUGUAUUUCCCAUAUAAAUACAACAAUAAACUUAUAUAUAUUUUUCAUCUCAAUACAACAAUCAACAACAUAACCACUACAAUUGAGAUAUUUCUAAAUUACAACUUUGCCACAAACAUUUAGCACAUAAAACAAUUAUCAAUCUUUCAUAAAUACUCACAUGUAUAUAAAUAUAAUUAUUUAACAACAUUUCAUGAUGAUGUAAUAUCAUAAGCAAGUAUCUCACAUUAUGGUAAACAAAAAUGAAUUCGUAUACAUAUAUUUCUAGAAAAUCAAACAUCUAAGAUCCUACACAUUGUCAUGAAAAAGAUUAAGAACUCUUACAUGGAAAACAAGUUUCCAUGGGAGUUCCUAAUCUACAAGAUUCUCCAAUUUUGAGGGAAUCAGAGAGAAAGACUUCACUGAAAUACUCUAAGAUCAUAAUGGUCUUCUCCCUUACCUGAGUCGCUUUAUCUCUUUACUUCAAUAUUGUUGCACCAACAUGAACGUUACUGCUAGCAAGUACUUGACCCAAGCACCACACUUCAUCAACCUAUAACCAACACAUAAUAAAUUUAAACAACCCUAAACACUUAAUACAUGGCUUUGGUCAUAGAGGAAAACAUAAAAUAAGGUCACACUUUAUGAAAGCUAGAUUCUUUUUCUAUAUUUAUAUGACAUUGAGAUUCUAUCACCACCAAAUAAAAGAAUCAUGAUUGAAUAAAAUGACAAUGGAUACAAAGGUAAAAGGACAUUAAGUUUUUUCUUCAUCUAUGUGAAUAUAUCUAGGUUUAUUUCCACUUUAUUACUUUCUCUUGAUUUUACAUAGAUGAUUUUGUGGGUGUGAUAAUUUAAAAAACAUUUAUAAUAAUGAUUUGACAUUAAUCAAAAUAUCUACAUAUUUCACUAUAGAUAUAGAGUUGAAUACAAAAUAAAGGACAUCUUAGUUUGUUCUUCAUUUAUGUGAAUAUGUCUAGGAUUAUUUCCGUUUUACUACUUCAUGAUGAUUUGACACAAAUGAUUGUUAUAGUGUGAUAAUAAUAUUCACCUUUAAGUUAUUAUAAAAUAAUUAGAGCAAAGUAUUCCACUAAUAUAUGAGAAAUGUAAUUUUAUUUUAUUUCGCCAAUUAGCCUUCAAACAACUUUUCACCAAACUACGGAAUUAAAAAUGAUAAAGCAGAAAUAAAAUAUGUUGUCAUAUGCCACGUGAAGACAAGCAAGUGAAAGCAAUGAUGUAAAAACCGUACCGUACUGACCGGUUCGAUCGGAAAACCAGCAAAUCGGACCCCUAAUUGGUACGAUACAGAUGUUGAACCGGCCAAGUAGACUUAAUUUGAAUUGCCAUUUUUCCCUCUAUGACUUCAGGAUGUUCUACUUCUUCUUUGAGUCUCGGAAUAGAAAAGAUGACCCAGUUGUUAUUUGGUUGGCCUGAGGACCAGGUUGCAGCAGUUCAUUAGCAUUGUUCUAUGAAAAUGGUCCAUAUAGAAUUGCAAAUAACAUGUCUCUUGUGUUGAAUCGCUAUGACUGGGACAAGGUUCUAUCUCUAUUCAUCACCUUUAUAAAAAUAUCUUAUAUUUCUGUACUUUUAUGCUCAUAAUUUGUUCCAUUUAGCGUUUCUCCCAAAUAAAAAAGCUAUUGUAUAUGUAUGUAUUUCCUGCUCAUAAACAAUACACAAAAGUCACUGGUCAACUUGGAGGUUGAAGAUAUUACAUAAACCUUUUUUUGUUAUUGGCAUGAACUAGUUUUUUUCCUUCAUUUUUGUAGGUUUCAAAUAUUCUAUUUGUAGACCAACCCACAGGUACAGGUUUCAGCUACUCUUCAGACGAAGAAGACAUUCGACAUGAUGAAUUGGGUGUUAGCAAUGAUUUAUAUGAUUACUUGUAGGUAAUGUAACACCCUUCCGUUAUCUCAUUUUCUCUAAACAUGAUAAGUCAUGUUGUAUAUAUAAUAUAUGUACUGAAUUUUACUAUAACAAUAGGCUUUUUUCAAGAAGCAUCCUGAAUUUGUGAAGAAUGACUUCUAUAUUAUUAGAGAAUCAUAUGUUGGACACUAUAUCACGGCUCUUGCAUCUCGGGUUCACAAAGGAAAUAUAGAAAAACAAGGGAUUCAUAUAAAUCUCAAGGUCUUGUUUCAUUUCUUAUAUAAUGUAUUUCAUGUCAUUAAAAAGAUCAAUUUAUUUUUUCUUUCUUCAUUCUUGUAAUCAUUCCUUUAUUCAAUCUUUAUGAUUGAUAACAGGGUUUCGCUAUUGGCAAUGGGUUAACCAACCCUACAAUUCAAUACUCAGCGUACAGUGACUUUGCACUACAGAGGGGAUUAAUUACAAAAAAAGAUCGAUAUAAUCUCAACAAGCUUAUCCUGAUUGUGAGCAAGAAAUAAAAUUAUUUCGUAUGACUCAUGACUUUGUUUUCUGUUAACAAUUUAUUGAAUUUGAUAGUAACUCCUACUAUUUCUCUUUGUGAUAUUCAUUGACACUAUUAAUUUGUGAUUGAUUUGACAGAAACUGAAGGAAGGUGGGGAUAGUUGCUCUUCUGCAUAUGAAACUUGCACUAGCAUAUUCAGAAACCUCUUAUCCAUUAUUGGCACUAACAUUAAUGUAAGAAACGAAAAUAUAAAUAAAAACUUUAUUUUUAACAACUUGUCCAACCAUUUGUGCAAAUAGUAGUUUGAUUUUACUGAUUGUUUUUUCGCUGUUAUUAAAACUACAGUUCUAUGAUAUUAGAAAGCAAUGUGAGGGAGAUCUGUGCUAUGACUUCUCAAACGUUGAUAAAUUUUUGAACAAUGACAAAGUGAAGGAUGCUCUUGGUGUGAAGAACUUGGAUUGUGUUUCAUGUAGUAGCACUGUGUACUAUGCUAUGCUUGAGGAUUGGAUGAAAAAUUUAGAAGUUGAUAUUCCUUCUCUUCUUGAGGAUGGGAUAAAAUUGCUUGUGUAUGCUGGUGAAGAAGAUCUUAUAUGCAAUUGGCUUCGUAAUUAUAGAUGGGUUCGUGCUAUGAAGUUGUCAGGCCAACAAAAGUUUAAGUCAGCACCUAAAGUCAAAUUUGUAGUUGAUGGUGCUGAAGCUGGAUCUUUAACAAGCCAUGGACCUCUUUCUUUCCUCAAGGUUUGUGUUAAGUGGUGUAUUCUAGAAUUUGACAUUGUGGAAUUUGUUUUUUGCUAACUUUAUUUUUGUGAUAUAAUAAUAGGUGUAUCAAGCAGGGCAUAUGGUUCCUAUGGAUCAACCAAAAGUUUCACUUGAAAUGCUGAGAAAGUGGAUGGGAGGGAAACUUUCUGUCUCUAAGAAAAAAGAUUAAUGCAUCUCUUAAUUCAUGCGCUCAGGACCUGUGAUAUUUUCUUGUUUAUAUGAAAUUUGGAGGGUGCGAAAUAAAUAAAUGAAUAUAUUUUUCUAAAUCUCUGUUGAGUCUGUUUGGUUCUCAAAUUUCUAUUAUUGAUGUUUCUAAAAAAGACUAAAACUUCCCUAAGACAUUGCAUCUUGAUACACAAGUAAACUUCAACUCGUGUAAACAUCUUCAAUAUGCCAAUAUUCAAACAAUCAACUAUAGUAUUACACUCACAGCUGAGUGAUUAGAGUUUUUUCAUUUGUCAAUUCAGAUAUUGGCUUUGAAGUAUCAUGUGAGAUAACUCAGUUGGUACAGUUUCCCAGAAGAAUAAGUAUAUGGAGGACUUCUAUCUCAAUACCUGCACAAUUUUUACUCCUUUCUUCUCUUGACAAAUUUUUUGCCUAUAAUGCAUGUAUACAUACAGACUUUGAAUUUGAAGUAUGGCUAAAAACAAAACAGAUGUAAAAUCAUAAUAGGAAUUUGAAAUACCAACCUCUGGUGGAGAGUUGUAGGUUCUAAAAAUGAAAACCAAGUCGUGAUAUGUAAUUUUUACAUAAAUAUAUUAUGUUUGUUAUCUAAAUUUGCCCAUCUAAUUCAAAUUAAGUUUGUAAUAAUCAACAUAAAUGUUAUAAAAAUUAUUUUAUAGAGUCCAAAUGUCUUCCUCCUAUGUUCUUGAUGGAAAAAAUAAAAAAUUAAAAAAAUGUGGAUAAUCUUAACUUCGAAGAGUUUGAAUCCAACUGUUUAUGAAAGCGUGAAUUCAAAGAGACAUCUUUAUUCGUGAAAGAGUAUGUAUAAAUAAGAGUGAUUAUGAUCUAGAAGUCAUGUGUAUUAAUCAAUAAUUAUAUAAGGUCUACAUAUUUCACUAUGAAUAUAAGGUUGGAUACAAAAAUAAAGAACAUUAAAUUUUUUCUUCAUCUAUGGAAUAUACCUAGGUUUAUUUCUGCUUUAUUACUUUCUUUUGAUUUGAUAUAAAUGAUUUUGAGGGUGUGAUAAUUCAAAUAAUAUUUAUAAUAAUGAUUUGUCAUUAAUCAAUAAUUAUAUAAAUCGGAUUACCAAAAAAUCUAUAUUUCACUAUGGAUAUAGAGUUGAAUACAAAAUAAAGGACAUCUUGGCUUGUCCUUCAUUUAUGCGAAUAUGUGCAGGAUUAUUUCAUUUAUGUGAAUAUGUGCAUGAUUAUUUCCAUUUAUGAUAACUAGUAUGUUGACAGACACUAUCGUGUCUGUCAACCCGCUUUCCUAUUGUUUGUAACAUGUUGUAAUUGAAUUUAUUAAAUAAAAUUGAACAUACAAAUAGUUUAGUAACUCACAUUUAUUUUUAUAGGUAAAAAAAAUGUAAGAUUAAGACAUAAUCAUUGAAAUAAAUCCUAAUAUAUAAAGUCUUCAUGAUUACUUCUUUUGAAAUAAAUAAAUCCUAAUAGUUUAGUAACUCACAUUUAUUUCUUUUGAAACUUUGUAUUAACAUUAAACUUUUGAUAAUAUCUAUCUAUAUAUUGUAAAUGUAAAAAUUUAUAUACAAUUAAUUAUCAUUCCACAAUUUAUUCAUCAUUUAUUUGUAUUAUCACAAUUAACAUUUUAUAAAACUCAUUAAGUGUUUAUAUAUUUUUUCCUAAUAAUAAAAAAAAAAUCACAAUGAAACAAAAUGGGCUUUUAGUAGUGGCCUCAAUCACCAUCAUCACAUGCCAUAUCCUACACUUUCCAUAAAAAAACACUUUUUUUGUUUCAGUUAUUACAAAAAGUGCUAUUCGUUUUCACUCUUUAAUCACUACCACCCUUUUCAGAUUUUCUCUCCACACUAUCUCAUUGCCCACUAUAUACUGAUCCCGAUUACCAUUUCAAUUUCAAUUUGUGCGAACUACAGAGUACCCAUAUCAGUAUUCAACAAAAGGUAACCUUCUCUCAUUUCUAGGGUUUUUAUUUUUCACUUUCUGCUUUAUUAAAUUUCUUUCUAUUAUUUCACUUUUAUAGUGUUUAGUUCAUUGUUAAUCUGGCUUUCUCUAUUGUCUUUCAAAUUUUCGUUCAAAGUUUGUACCUUUGCGGUGUCUUAUCAGAUCUUUUGCAUUUAAAGCUUAAAGAUAAGAUUUUUGUUACAAUGGGUUUGAUUUUUGGCUCAAUCAAAUUAUUUGUAUGUUAUUAACUGUCAAUGAUUUUUUGGGGUUUCUUUUCUCUGAGGAAACAACCUUGUAUGAAUUAAACAUAUCAAUGAAGUAUGAUUUGCAUAAAAUUUAAUCAAGGUGAUCAAAUGUUACCUUUGUAUAAAAUCCAUAACUAACCAUAUUAGGAAAAAUGAAUCAUUUAAAUUAAAUAAGACUGGGGCAUUUCAGGGAUUAUGAAAAAAACGUGACGGCAAUUUUGGGAUGUAAAAUUAGCUUCCUUUCAUUAAAACCUAAAAACCCUACAUUUUGAACACAACUUCUAUUUUUAAUUUCUUUAUUUUUUUUGAAUCAUUGAGUAUGAUUAACCUUGCAAUACUCUUUUGGUGAAACUGGAGAAGAUGUAUUAGUUUGUUAGUGAAAUGUCAAAUUGGUGCUUGAGAUGUUGUUCAAUUUGGUCAUUGAGAUUACAAAAAUAUCAAUUUGGUCUAUGAUUUUGCAUAUAGUCAUUCAAUUUUGUGAUUCAAUCUGGAACCAAAUUGACUGAUUUUGUAGUGAUGCAAAAUUGAUUGAUAUUGUCAAUCUCAAUGAUGAAAUAGACACUUUACUGUUUAUAUUGAACAUGAUCAUGUGGUUGCAAGCUUGCUUCUUAUUUGAAAAUGUUUGUGUUCUUUAAUAGAGCUUGAGGCACACUGUGAUUAGAUCUUAAUAUGUAAUGUGACAACAAAAUUUAGUUUUAGGAUUCUGGUCUGGUCUUUAGCAUGUGGUUGCCCAUCAAGUUAGAUGCAUUUGUUCAUAAUUUCUAGUAGGAUUGUAUGCUGAACACAGUAACUUUUUCCAACAAUUCCAUAAUCGCAUGAAGUUAAACAUAUAAAACAAACUACUACCAUUAAUUUUUUUGUUUCUAGAUGUGUGCUUAUAAUAAUUUUUUUAUGGAUUUAAGUUUUUUUAAGGCAUUCCAUCUUUCUGUUCCAUCUAUUAGCAUAGAUGAUUUUGUAUUGUUCUGUAAUUUGUUGAUGUGUAGAUUUAUUUUAGAAUAGUUUGUGUUAUUUCAUUGAUAUGGUUUUUAGUUGGUAUUUUGAUGUUUGUUUACUGCAAGUCAUUUUCAUUAUUUCUUGCUUCAUUAGGUUAAAUUUUAGCUUAAUUUUGUAUGUGUGAAAUCAACAGAUUUCUUAAUAAUUAUUAGUUUUCUAAUGCAUGAAAUUAUUAGCAAUAAUUAAGUCUUUAUAUGUGAUUUUAUUAAUUUUGUAUCAAUUUAUGGUUUUCUAAUGCAGUUCCAAAUUUUAUAUUGGUCUGUAAUAUGAUGAUGUGUUAUUUGAGAAUAUUUAAUGUUUAAUAGUUAUAAUAUUUAAUUUUUUCUAUGAUUAAUAAUCAAAGAUGAUAAAGUAUGACUUACCACGAUGAUGAACUUGCACUGCAACAAUCCAAUGUAAUUUGUUGAUGUGUUGAUUUAGUUAACAAUAUUUUGUGUUCUAUGUUGUCUUCGCAGUACUGACAUACAUAGAAAGAGUCAUGUAUACUAAUAUAUAAAGAUUCAUUAACAUAUAUAUAAUUUUAACUAACAUGAUAAAGUAUGUUUACCUAUAUGAUGAACUUGCACAACACCAAUCCAAUGUAAUUUGUUGAUGUGUUGAUUUACUUGCAUAUUUUGUGUUGUAUGUUGUCUUCACAAUACUGACAUACAUAGAAAGAGUCAUGUAUACUAAUAUAUAAAGAGUCAUUAACAUAUUUUAUGUUGUGUUGAUUUAUAUGACAAUACUUUUUCUGACACAUAUUUACUUCACAAUAAUGAUAUACACAACAGUAUACUAAUAUAUAUAAGAGGUUAUGAGGAAACUGUCCUCUGAUCCUUAAUCUCAGGGAAAUAGUUAUUUGUAUUGGUUAUAUAAUAUUGUUGUGGUGAAAUGAACGGAUAAGCUAUUAUUCAUAAAUUUCUAUUCUUCCUUUCUUAGGAGACUUGCUCUCUAUUUCAGUAUAUCAGAGGGAAGUUUACAAUGGUAUGUGAAGUGAUCAUUUUUUGGAAUAGGAAUACUAAUACACAGGGAAAUAAAGACCAUGGUGGGUAUUUAGUAUUUACUCUUUUACUUAUAAACAUCAUUCAUUGUUUUUAUAAAGAUAGUAUAUCAAGGCCAGUGUCUUGGCAAUACUGAUAAACGUAGAAACAACACAUAUUUAUUUGAUAUAUAAAGAGAAAUUAAUUAUCAUUAUCACAGAAAAGAGAGAUUAAUUGAAAAGGAAACAAAAAAAGAGAAAUACCUGAAGGUUGCAAAAAUGUGAGAUAGAAUAGAGAAGGAAAGGAAAUAUUGACCAACCAUGUUGUGAUUUAUAGUUUAUAGGUUGAUCAUCUUUUAACAACAGAAUGGAAGUUUUAUUAAAAAUAUAAACUGUCAUUGUCCAUCCACUUUCUCCCUAAAAAAAGGAAACCACCAUCGCAUACAUGGUGGAAGUUUAAAACUUACUUAUCCACAUUCUCUUGAAAACAAAACUGUUGUGGCAGUUUAAAAUGAAACAUUAAUUAUAUAAACAGACCUCAUAAACUAUAGAAUAAUUAUAUUUUAGACUUAUAAAGGGUAAAAUAGGGAAUAGAAAUUACUCCACUGGUAGUUAAUUUAAGUUUUCUCUUUAUAUAUUAGUAUAGAUAUUUACCUAUAAGUCAUUAUAAAAUAAUUAGAGCAAAGUAUUCCACUAAUAUAAGGAAAAUGGAAUUUAAUUUUAUUUCUCCGUUAGCCUUCAAACAUCUUUUCACCAAACUACGGAAUUAAAAAGGAUAAAGCAUAAAUAAAAUAUGUUGUCAUAUGCCACAGGAAGACAAGCAAGUGAAAGGUCAAUGUUUUAGAAUUUAUUUGAGGCUUGUAAGUACGAAUUUGAAAGACCACCGAUUUUAAUAUCCCCAUUUUGGAAGGUAAAUAAUCUAUGAUGUUACGUUUGCUUCUAGUGGGAAUUUUAUCACACCCUAAUUUAGAUGAAAUCACCUGCUAAAUUUUAUAAUUAGCAAAUAUUUUGAGGAAUAGAGGAAGAAGAGAAAUUAUACAUUUAUCGAGAUUGAAACUCAAAUGUUCAUACUUUAUUUUUCGUAGCUAUGCUAACUAAUCUUCAAUAAUGAUGAGAAUAAUGAGAUGAGUGUAAUAGGCCCCACAUGAGGGCCACCGUCCCUUAUUUCUCAAAUCAGUUAUUCAUUUGGUGGAAUUUUCUCAUUGAGUACUUCCAUAUUAGCAUUUCUAAUAAAAUGAGUUUUGGCCGUGAUAAUAAAAUAAUAGGGGGUUAAGUGGUGUAUUCUAGAAUUUGACAUUGUUGGGAAAAAAAAUUUUGCUAACUUUUUUUUUGUGAUAAAAUAAUAGGUGUAUCAAGCAAGGCACAUGGUUCCUAUAGAUCAACCAAAAGCUUCACUUGAAAUGCUGAGAAAGUGGAUGGGAGGGAAACUUUCAGUCUCUAAGAAAAGAGAUUAAUAUCUUUCUUAACUAGCCGUGUACUCAUGCACUUGCACGGGUUGCUUCUUUAUUUAUGCAUAAUGCAAAUAUAAUAUAUAUAUAUUUUAUAAUAUCAAUAAAUCAUGUAUUAAAUCAUUAUAUUUUUCCAUUCAUAUAGGUGCAAUAUUAACAUUGAUUUUUAAGUGUAUAUGUAGAAUAUUAACAAUUAUAAAUGCGUUUGUAUAAGCAUUUAUUUGUUGAAAAUGUGAUUAUAGAAAAUAUUUGAUUCUUAAAUAACUCAAUAAAUAAAAUUCAAAUUGUAUUGGAAAAUAUUUUUUCUGAUAAUUUUGAUCAAAAUAAUAAAAAGAGUCUAAUAAUUGAUUUGUUAUAUUCCUAAUUAAAAUACAUAUAUUUUCCAUGAAUACAUAUAUCAUUGUUAUCUUUUAAUUAAAUAAUAUAAUGAUUGUAAUUAAAUACAUGUGACCCGUGCAUUCGCAUGACUAAAAACACACAUGUUACCCGUACAUUCGCAUUACUAAGACAACACAUGUUACCCAUGCAUUCGCAUAGUUAAAAAGCACAUAUUACUCAUACAUUCAUAUUAUUAAGAAUAUACAUCUUACUUGUGUAUUUGCAUAUUCAAGCACAUAAGAAAAUAAAUUGAUAAUUUUUAAUUUGAAUUUUCUACAAUUAGUAUUAAAUUAUUAUUAACAUAUAAAAUAUAUAAAAAGUAGGAAGGAAAAAAUGUGAGAAGGAGGUGACAUGUGACAUGAAGGAAAAAAUGUAAGGAGAAAUUGACAUGUGGCAUGAGAGAGUUUCUUUUAUUAUAUUGUUAAUAGAGAAAAAUUAAAAUUCAAAGAAUCUGAACUGUAAUAGUAAAAUUCAGUGCGAAAAAUGUCAAAAAACUUUGAUGAGCUGAAAAAGUACAAUUGUUCUUAGAUUAAUGGUAAAUAUUAAAUUAUAUAGAUAGAUUAAUGUAAAGAAAUAAUUUGAAUGUGAAAAAUGAUUUCAAUUUCAUCUAAUGUUCAAUGACUAUUACUUUUUAACAUAACAAAACAUAGGUGUUGUAAACAAUCAAUUUUAGUGGGGUAGCGACAUGGACCAAUCACUAAUUAAUAUUAAAUUAUUAUUAGCAUAUAAAAUAUAUAAUAUAUAGAAAGAAAAAUAUGUUAGGAGCAGGUGACAUGUGGCAUGAAGGAAAAAAUUCAAGGAAAAAGUGACAUAUGACAUAAGAUAGUUUUUUUUAUUAUAUUAUUAAUAGAUAGAUUCAUGUGCUUAGAACCUAUGAUAUAUUUUCUUGUUUAUAUGAAAUUUGGAGGGUGGGAAAUAAAUAAAGGAAUAUAUUUUUCCUUCAUUUAUGUGAAUAUGUUUAGGUUUAUUGUUGCUUUACUAUUUUAUGAUGAUUUGACAUAAAUCAUUUUUAUAAUGUGAUAAUAAUUUUCGCCUUUAAUGAUUAUAAAAUAAUUAGAGCAAAGUAUUUCACUAAUGUAAGAGAAAUGGAAUUUAAUUUUGUUUCCCUAGAUAGCCUUCAAACAUCUUUUCACCAAAGUAUGGAAUCAAAAAGUUUAAAGCAGAAAUAAAAUAUGUUGUCAUAUACCAAAGGAAGACAAGCAAAUGAAAGGUCAAUGUUUUUUUUUGUAUUUUGAAGGCUAAAAUUUAAAACUAAAGGAUUUUCCUCUCUCAUCCUCUGACUCGAAAUUUCAUUAAUCAUAAUUCUUAUUUUUUAUUAAAUAUAAGUUCUUGAUUCUAACUAAUAAAUUAAUUUUUGAUGACGAGUAUCAACUUUUAAAUCUUAUAGCAAACCAAAUAUUCCAAUUAAUCAUGUAAUCAUAAAUAUCAAUUAUUAUUAUUAUUAUAUACUAGCGUGUUGACAUGCACUGUCGUGCCUGUCAACCCACUUUUCUAUCGUUUGUGAUGUAUAGUUUGUAUUUUAUAAAUUCAAAUAUAGUUUUUUGCACUAAAUUUACGGUUGAAUUUAUUCAAUUGGUCUAAUAUUCAAUUUUUUAAAUACACUUUUAAAAUAAGAAGAUAAUAAGGAUAAAAUAAGAAAUAAAUUCAAAUAUAGUUUUUUGCACUAAAUUUACGGUUGAAUUUAUUCAAUUGGUCUAAUAUUCAAUUUUUUAAAUACACUUUUAAAAUAAGAAGAUAAUAAGGAUAAAAUAAGAAAAUAAUAUUAUAUGGUUUUUUGGUAGAAAUAAAAAGAUAUUGAGGACAAAAUAGGANNNNNNNNNNNNNNNNNNNNNNNNNNNNNNNNNNNNNNNNNNNNNNNNNNNNNNNNNNNNNNNNNNNNNNNNNNNNNNNNNNNNNNNNNNNNNNNNNNNNCAAUCCAAUGUAAUUUGUUGAUGUGUUGAUUUACUUGCAUAUUUUGUGUUGUAUGUUGUCUUCACAAUACUGACAUACAUAGAAAGAGUCAUGUAUACUAAUAUAUAAAGAUUCAUUAACAUAUAUAUAAUUUUAACUAACAUGAUAAAGUAUGUUUACCUAUAUGAUGAACUUGCACAACACCAAUCCAAUGUAAUUUGUUGAUGUGUUGAUUUACUUGCAUAUUUUGUGUUCUAUGUUGUCUUCAUAAUAUAGACAUACGUAGAAAGAGUGUAUACUAAUAUAUAAAGAGUCAUUAACAUAUUUUAUGUUGUGUUGAUUUAGUUGACAAUACUUUUUCUGGCACAUAUUUACUUCACAAUACUGAUAUACACAACAAUAUACUAAUAUAUAUAAGAGGUUAUGAGGAAACUGUCCUCUGAUCCUUAAUCUCAGGGAAAUAAUUAUUUGUAUUGGUUAUAUAAUAUUGUUGUGGUGAAAUGAACGGAUAAGCUAUUAUUCAUAAAUUUCUAUUCUUCCUUUCUUAGGAGACUUGCUCUCUAUUUCAGUAUAUCAGAGGGAAGUUUACAAUGGUAUGUGAAGUGAUCAUUUUUUGGAAUAGGAAUACUAAUACACAGGGAAAUAAAGACCAUGGUGGGUAUUUAGUAUUUACUCUUUUACUUAUAAACAUCAUUCAUUGUUUUUAUAAAGAUAGUAUAUCAAGGCCAGUGUCUUGGCAAUACUGAUAAACGUAGAAACAACACAUAUUUAUUUGAUAUAUAAAGAGAAAUUAAUUAUCAUUAUCACAGAAAAGAGAGAUUAAUUGAAAAGGAAACAAAAAAAGAGAAAUACCUGAAGGUUGCAAAAAUGUGAGAUAGAAUAGAGAAGGAAAGGAAAUAUUGACCAACCAUGUUGUGAUUUAUAGUUUAUAGGUUGAUCAUCUUUUAACAACAGAAUGGAAGUUUUAUUAAAAAUAAAAACUGUCAUUGUCCAUCCACUUUCUCCCUAAAAAAAGGAAACCACCAUCGCAUACAUGGUGGAAGUUUAAAACUUACUUAUCCACAUUCUCUUGAAAACAAAACUGUUGUGGCAGUUUAAAAUGAAACAUUAAUUAUAUAAACAGACCUCAUAAACUAUAGAAUAAUUAUAUUUUAGACUUAUAAAGGGUAAAAUAGGGAAUAGAAAUUACUCCACUGGUAGUUAAUUUAAGUUUUCUCUUUAUAUAUUAGUAUAGAUAUAGAUGCUUAAGAAAUUAAUAUAAUUAUAUAACUGAAACAAAACACAUCUAUGGAUAAGAUAAAACACAAUACCCUAUCUUGCUAAGCAAGAGUCAAAAAAUAUUUUUAACAUAUAUAAUUGCAUAGUGAUUACAUGAUAAUAAUAACAAUAAAAUUAUACUAUCUCUUACCAUAACAUUGGGAUAUAUUCUUAAAGUAAAUAGAAUGCACUAUUACCCUUAUUUUAUCAUAAAAUAAAAUUACAAUAUGAUACUUUGUAUUCUUUAUUAAAUAAAUCAUAGUAAUUACAAAAAUUGUACAAUUCAUAAUUUUUAGGAUGUUGCAAGAAGAAAUUGGAGAAAGCAAUGUCAACACUAUUACUUAUGAUAUAUUUUAAGGUUAAAUACCACUGAGAUUUAUGAUAUUUAUGCUAUAUUUUUAAGAGUUUUUACGUUAUAGCGAUAUUUAAUUUUUAUCUUACUAUACUUGAGUUUUAGGGUAUAAGUGGUUCUGGUUUAAACCACGAAACUCGUAGAAUCGAACUUGACCAAAUCACAAAAUUUGGUUUGGUUCAGUUUCGCGGUUCGGUUAGGUUAUUUAUUUAAGGAAUCAUUUAUGUUCAGUUCGGUUCACGGUUUCAUAAAUUUAGGAUUCAUUGGAACCGAACCACAUAUUAAAGAAGUAGUUAUUAGAGAAUGAUUUUGUAUUGUUGUUUAAAUUCAUCAACCAAUUUUUUUUUGCUUAAAUUAACAAUUUUGUGUGAAUUGUAGUAUUAUAUAUGUUAUUAUGUUAGUAUUGUAUAUGUUAGGACUUACUAAUUGUUUAUCAGUGUCUUCAUGAUUUGGAGCAUAUCUUAUAACUCUUGUGGUCUUUGGUUUAAAAGUAACAUAUACCAUAAAUUAUUAUGCAUAUUACUAAUUAUGAAUUAUAAUAUUAUAUAUGUUAUUAUUAUAUUAUUAUAUAUUUUACUAAUUAAUAUAUAUGUUACUAAAUUAUUAUAUAUGUUACUAAAUUAUUAUGUAUGUUACUAAUCUUAAAUUAUAUUGUUAUAUAUGUUACUAAUAGAUAUAUAUAUUCUAUUAAUUGUGGAUUGUUUAUUUUAUAUGUAGUCGUUCGUUUUUUCUUCCUGAAUUACAUAAUUGUUAUAUAUGUUAUGAACAAACAAUUAUGAGUUUUAAUUUUUUUACUUUAUAUAUGUUCAUAUUUUCUUAUAAUAAUAGUGUGUUUCCUUAUAUGAAUAAAGAACUUCUCUUGUAAUACAUUUUGAAAUUUCAAUUGAUGCAAUAUUUUUUUAAAACAAGAAAACCAUGGUACCGAACCAUUCAAGAGUAGUUCAGCUCGGUUCCAGUAGUAAAGAGAAAAAAUAUAUACAGUGUAAGAGUUUUAUACAUUGUCAGUUCAUCAUUCACCAUUCAUUUUUAAUCAUUAUUGACUCUUCAAAAAAAUUAAUCCAGAUGAAUAGUGGAUGAUGUAAUAACUAUGUAUAAAUCUUUACACUCAUAUUGUAUAGAUAUUAACUCUUAUUAAAAAUGUGCUUUGUAAAUACAGUUAUUUAAACUUUUUACCUUUGCCUAAGUAAAAAAAACAUGAAUAUUAUGUAACAUUGUGGAGCCUUUUUAAAAAAACAAUGAAAAGGGGAUAGCGCCCUUUAAGCCCAUGUAAAUUGGGGAUGGAAACCCUAUUUUAUGUCUCUUUAAAAAGACAAAGUAACAACCAAUGAGGUGGCAGCUACAAAAAAUAAAAAAAGAGGAGGUAGGCAGAAUCUACAGCUUGAGAAGAUGGCCAUUAGGCUGCAAAUAUGAGAGCCUUGGUUAUGUGAAUACCAGGUUUGAAGUUAUAGAGAGUAGAAGCUUCAUCUCUUCAUCUCAUCGAUGUAAGUAAUUGCUUCUUUGUAUUUUAAUAUUUAGUACAUUGGAGAGGUUGUAGACUUAGCCUUCCUUGGUUGAUAAGAAGAAGUUAAGAGGAAAGAAAGAGGUGAGAAAGAGGAUGGAGAGAAAGAAAGAGGUGAGAAAGAAGAGUGGAAUUAUGGGUUGUUUGGUAGAAGAGAAAAAAAAAAGAAAAAAGAAGAGAGAGAACCUCACUUAAUAUCUCCACAUAUUGAAUAGAUAAUUAUACACUUAUUCACAUUAAUAAUAUUUUCAUUCUAGAUUAAAAUUAAAUAUUAGUUAGUUUUUUAAAAAUAUAAUGUUAAUACUAAAUAUAUACUUUUAUGUAAAUGAUUAAAUAAUUAAAGUGUCUAAAAAUAAUAUUGAAAUAUUUAAAAUUAACCUUAAUGAUAAUGAUGACACACAAACAAUAAUAUUUUUAAUUCCAUGUGUGACUCACAAUUUUGUUAGGGAUAUGUCAUUGGAGAUAAAUCAUAAAUAUAAUAAUAGUAAAAUAAAAAUAAGUGAACAAAAAUGAUAAAUAAAAUGUGAGCUUUUCUAUAUACAAGUUUAUCUUUGUAAAUAAUCAUAUACUAACUUUAUUUUCUAAGUUUUAAGUAUAAAAAUGUAUUUGGUUCUAAAAUGAGUAAAUAAAAUAAAAACAAAUAUUAAUUAUACUUUUAAAAUAGUUAAAAAUAUUAAAAAAAAGUGUCACAUAAAACGAUUAUAUAUGAUAUUUAAUGGUUAGAAUUUCACAAUAAUGUAUUUUGCACAUGUAUGUGAUAGUGUGAAAUUAGUGGGGACAAUUUAGGCAUUUGUAAAUUUUUACUCUCUCAACUCAUUUUCUUCUCAUCUAUGGAGAUAAUAAAAUUUGUUAACCUUUUUCUUUCUCUCUACUCUCUUUCGGUUCACAACCAAAUAGAAGAAAUGUGUAAACUCCUCUUACUUUCUCUCUUCUCUUUUUCUCCUCUCAUACUCAGAAUCUAGCACAGAGCAUUAGAGGUGCACGUUUUCAAGGUGCCCAUGCAACUCUUUCAACAGGUGUCUAUCAUUUGCGCUACCUUAUUUUUGUAGUAUAAUAUCAAUGCAAUGCACUGAAAGUAUACAUAUUUUUCUCUAUUUUUUUAUCUUGUCAUUUUGCUACUGUGUAUGUAUAUUUUAAUUAGAACUUACUAUAGCUAUAGUUUUGGCUGCCGACCUUCUUCACAGUUUGUAUGCAAAUUUUAUUUUCAUAAUAACUAUGAACAUGAGAUUAGAAAUGAAGUUAGAGGCCAAGAUAGAGAUUAAUAGCAAUUGUUUUCGUUUAGAUACUUGAAUUUGAGUUCAUGGGAAUGCCACCCAAAGCAAAUAAUAGCUAUCAUCCAUAAAUAAAAAAACAAUUACACUACAAAAAUAACAAGAAUAAAAGGGUCUUUCUAAGAUUUUAUCGUUGAUAUUUUUAAAUAAUUUAAAAAAAAACAAUGUAAAGUAUGUUAAUGUAAUUAUGUUGAGUACUUUGAUGUGCCAUUUUAUGUUAUUCAAAGCAGUGUGAGAUAAUCUCACUUUAGGUCUUGUACCUUGUCGAGUUGUCAUGUCAUCUUAUCUUGUUAAAUAUUUUUUAAAUAAUUAAAAAACAAUGUAAAGUAUGCUAUAGAUUUCAUGCUUUGAUGUGCUACUUUAUGUUGUCCAAAGUAAGCUAAGGUAACACUACUAUAGACUUUGUGUCUUGUCGUGUUACCUUAUCCUGUUAAUUUUAUUAAUAAUUUUAAAAGUAAUAUAAUAUAGUCUAUUAUAGGUCUUGCGUCUUGUCAUGUUACCUUAUUUUGUUAACUUUUCAAAUAAUUUUAAAAACAAUAUAAGGUAGCUCAUUAUACACCUUGUGUUUUGUCGAGUUACCUUAUUUAUUUUUUAAUUUUCUAAACAAUUUUAAAAACAAUAUAAAGUAGUUUAUUAUAGACCUUGUGUCUUGUCGUGUUAUCUUAUUUUUCAAAUAAUUUAAAAAAUAAUAUAGGGUAACUCACUAUAGGCCUUAUAUCUUGUCACUUCACCUUAUUUUGUUAAUAUUUAAAAUAAUUUUAAAAAAUAAUAUAAGGUAGACGACUAUAGGUUUUGUGUCUUGUCGUGUUACUUUAAUUUGUUAUACUUUUUACAAAUAAGUUUAAAAUGCAAUAUAAGGUAGCCCACUAUAGGCCUUGUGUCUUGUUGCAUUACCUUAUUUUGUUAAUUUUUCAAACAAUUUUAAAAAGCAAUAUAAAGUAGUCCACUAUAAACAUUUUGCUUUGCCGCAUUACCUUAUUUUGUUAUAUUUUUCAACUGAGUUUAAAAAGCAAUAUAACAUAACAUAUUAUAAACAUUAUGCCUUGUAGGGUUACCCUUUUUUUCAAACAAUUUUAAAAAUAUAUAUAAAGUAGCCCACUAUAAAGUGAGUGUCUUGUUGUGUGUUUAUGUUAUACAAAGCAAGGUGAGCUAACCUAGUUAUAGUCCUUGUGUCUUGUCGUGCUAUCGUACUGUUAACUUUAUAAACAAAUAAAAUAAAAAUAUAUCAAUCAAUCAACCAUUUUCCAGAAGAACUACAAAAUAUUGAUUUCUCUAUUGCAGCUACAGAUAGUAGGAGCUAUGAAGCACGAAUUCGUCAAACACCUUCACAUGUCAGUGUCCGACACGGAUACGCUUGGAUUCGCGAAAGAUACGUAUCCAUAUAGUAUCCAAAAAUUAAAAAAAUAAAAUAAAUAAAUAUUAAGACACGUAUUCCAUUCGUUUUCAAUAAAAUAUAGGAUAUAUGGAUUCGUUUUCAGUAAAGUAUAGGAUAUAUAGAUUCGUUUCUAAUAAAACAGGAUAAGAUAUAUUCGUUUCCAAUAAAACAGGAUAAGAUAGAUUCGUUUCCAAUAAAACAUGAUAACAUAGAUUCGCUUUCAUUAAAAUAGGAUAAAAUAUAUUUGUUAUGGAGGACAAUGAUUUUAGGAUAGAUUCGUUUUCAUUAAAAUAGAACAAGAUAGAUUUGUUAUGGAGGCAGUGAUUUUAAAUUUCCAUAUUUUUUACUUUGGAUAUUUUGAUUUACACUUAUAAUUUUAUCAUAUUUUAUGUGUUUUUAUUAUUUUAUACGUGUAUCCCUGAACGUAUCGUAUCCUGUAUUUUGGAAAAAAUAUGUGUUGAUGUAUCGGAUACGUAUCGUACCCGACACACGUAUCAGUAUCCGUGCUUCAUAGCGUAGGAGCAUGCACUUCUCUAUGAGGCACACAAAAAAUUAAAAAAAAAUAUUGGUCUUUAUUUUUAUUUAAUAAUGUGAGUGUAAAAUUAAUGUGUUGAAGAAUAUUCACAUGAUCAAUCUCAGUACCGUUUUUAUAACAAACGGUAUGAGAUAUCUAACAUAUUUCUCGUCCAUAACCGACUCCCAAACUUAAAUUUAUCUCUGUGAGCUGGUUAAUCAUUGUUCUUUAAGUUAUUUUUUCAUUUUUUCCGUCUAAAAAAUAUGAUAACGACUCAUUACAUUUAUUUGCAUUAUUUUCGUCAAGCCCACAUAGCAACAUACUUAAGAUUAAUUUUUAAAUAAUUAGUUUAUUUUAUGCAUAUAUGAUUAAAUUAGUUAAAAUGGGGGUUUAUGAGGAAAUUAACCUAUGUAUGAUUAAAAUCUUAGAUUGACUUUAUUAGAUAAGACAAAAAAUCGAGUAGGGAUGACAAAAAUAUUCGUCUCGUGGGUACUCGCUAAAAUACCUGCAACGGAUAUGCGUAAAAAUAGUUUAUAGAUGAGAACGAGUAUCAUAAUAUCCGCCUCAUAGGUACCUGUAUAUUUAUAAAUUUAUUUUUUAAUUAAAUAAUUUAUAUUUAUAUUUUAUUUUAUAGUCAUAUAUUAUCUAUUUUUGUAUUAUUUUAUAAUGAAUUUUAGUGAUUAAAAUAUAUGAUAAAUUUAAUAUGUAUAUAAAUUUAUUAUCCAUGUAAUAAUUAUUUUAUAUGUAUUGAUUAUUAUAAAAUCUAUAAAUAAAUAUUGAAACUUAAGACUCGUUGAGUACCCGCAAAUAUCUGCUACCCGUGUAGGUACUCAUAAAUAGUGUGAGUAUGGAUAUGUGAAAGGACUAUCCGUACUCGUUCUGCCUCAUUGUCAUCCCUAAUUACAAGAAUUAUAAGAAAAAAAUCACUUAAUCAACUAUUAUUAGAUGUAAAAUUGGACAAGAUAAUUUAAGAGGAUGGUGGAUUGUGCACAAAGAUCUUCUAGUCAUAAGAUACUCUCCAAAAUUAAAUUAAUCUAUAUUGUUUUAUCAUAUGGUUUAUUAGAUAAUCAUUAAUUAACGUCUAAGAAACCGAUUCAAAAAACCUUCAAACCCAUAAAAAAACCUUCAAACCGACCUAGAAUGUAAAUAUUUGCAUCAUUUGGAACAAGUUUGUAAUAAAUGAUUGAAUUGGAUUCUGGAUCAAUUUAUAAAAACAGAAAUGAUCCAAACUGAACCAUAUAUGAUACAAUAUUUAUAUUUAUUAUAGACUAAAGUUACCUUUUUAUUUUAAUUUAUGAUUUAAUGAAUAAUUUUGCAUUUCUUUUAUUAACAAAAAAAACUCAUAGUAAUAUAUUGUUGUUUAAAAAAUUAUUACGUCAAAUCUCACUAUUUAUUUUGUAUCUUAAAUAGAAAAACUUAAUAAUAAUGAUAAUAAAAGAACCAGACCAAACAACAAAUAAAUGUUUGGACUGAAUUCUAUAUUUAUUUCAAUCACUUACUAACUCAUUUGUUACUUGUAUUUACUCUCACCUGUUCUUCAACAAUUUCCCUAACUCUCAUACUGAUUUAAUUGUUGGAGAACAUUUUAAAGUAUAUCCUCUGACAAAUCCAAACUAUCUAAACUUAAGAGAAAGCCACCUCAAUUAGGCACAAGAUCCGAUCAUCCGACCAACCAUCAAACAACAAUUCAUAUAUAAAUAUAUGAAAUAACUAACGUUAUUUUAUGCAAAUGCAUGAAUAAAAAUGAUAUUUAUCAACCAUUCUAUUAUAUAAUUUUGAGAUUUUCUCUCUGCAAGUAUUUUUCUCAACAUUUUACGUUUUAAAAAGAAAAAAAUGUUUUAAUUAUCUAAGCUCUCAUUCGUUUUGAGAUGAGACAUAUGCUAGAUCUUUUUUCAAAAUAAAAUAUAAACUAGACAAUGAUUCUAUAAAAUUAAAAGUUAAAACAUUGUGUUCAAAAUUAAUAUUACAUUUGUUUAAACAAAAAAUAUUGUUUAUCACCAUAGCGUCAAUUUUAUUACAUUUAAAAAAUAAGAUAUUGAGAGGACAAAUCAUAAAAAAUUAUCUUCUGAUAAAUUUGUUUUUUUAUUCUGUUGUUUUUAAUUUUAACAAUCACUACAUUAUUUUAUUUUUAUUAUUUCAUUUAUAGUUAGGAUUUAUGAUAUGAAUGACAACAAACAGAAAAAUGCAACCGUAUCAAUAAUAUAAUUUGUACAACCAUCUUCUAAAACUAAUUGAGGGCCUAACAAUUUUCCUUUCUCAUUCCAAAAAAAGUUGUAGGAAUUGUUGGCCAUAGCUGUUGGAAUUUAGAAACCAAGUGCCUUUGGUUUUUCUUUACUACAUUACUUGCAGAACACGAAAGAGAAGAAGAAAAGAGAGUGAGUGAAGAAAUCUUGAGAAAAUUAGAGAGGAGAGAAAUUGAGAGAAGAAAAGGAAGAAGGGGAAAGUAAUUCACUGGUUUUUCAAUGUAUUCAAAAUGCACACAUAUAUCAAGCUUGAUCAAUUCUAUUUAUAGAAACUCAUAACUAAUUUGGUUGUUAUGAUUUCUAUUUAUAGUAAUGUGCUAAACUAACUCAAUCAUCCUAUACAAUAAGCUAUGAAUUACAAAAACAAUUACUACAAAAUCAACAUUCCCCCUUAAUUCAUGCUUUCUAUACUAACUAUACCCAAGAGUGUUCUUUGUCUUUCAAAGUCUAUCUUCUUCAAAGGCUUAGUUAGCAAAUCUGCCAAUUGAUCCUUGGAUUGACAGAUUUCUAGCUUUAGAGUGUUCUUCUCUACUUGAUCUCUUAAGAAGUGAAACUUGGUCUCUAUGUGUUUGCUUCUACCAUGAGCCACAUGAUUCUUUGCUAGAUUUAUUGCUGAUUUGUUAUCAACAAAUAACCACAUAGGUUCAUCAUCCUUCUGCAUUCCCAAUUCAGUGAGUAAUGCCUUCAACCAUACUGCUUGUUGACCACCAAAACAGGCAGCAACAUAUUCUGCCUCGCAUGAAGAGAGGGCUACUAUUUUCUGCUUCUUUGAACACCAACUUAUUGGUGCUUCACCAAGCUUGAAUAGGUAGCCACUUGUGCUCUUUCUAUCAUCCUUAUCACCACACCAAUCUGCAUCAGUGUAACCAUGGGUGGUACUCUUUCCACUGCUUUGUUUUGUGUCUCUUGAUGCAGGGAACAAAAUGCCCAAAUUCAUACUUCCUUUAAGAUACCUUAGUGUUCUUUUCACUGCUACUAGAUGAGUAUGUCUUGGAUUUUCCAUGUACCUGCUUACUAGACCCACUGCAUAGGCAAGAUCAGGUCUUGUAUUGCAUACAUAUCGAAGAGAUCCUAUUAUUUGUCUGAAGAGAGUUGAGUCUACUGCCUUAUCUUCUGAGUUCUCAACGCUGGAAUUGCAUAGUGAGUGACCAGUUUCAAUUGGAGUUGAAGCUGAGUUGCAUUCUAGCAUUUUGAACCUUCCAAGUAUAUCAGUAAUAUACUUCCUUUGAUGCAUUAGUAUACCUGCUUCAGUUCUGAGAAAUUCAAUCCCAAGGAAGUAUGAAAGGCUUCCCAAAUCAGUCAUCUCAAACUCAUGUUUCAGCUUUUCUUUAAACCAUUCAAUCUCCUCAAUGUUGUUGCCUGUAAUUAGCAAGUCAUCCACAUAGAGGCAUGUAAUGAUAGAAGCUUCUGUAGUGAUUUUCUUGUAUAGAUGCCAUGCUCAUUGAUGCAUCUCUGAAAUCCUACCUUUAGUAGGAACCCAUCUAUUCUUUUGUUCCAAGCCCUGGGUGCUUGUUUCAAUCCAUACAAGGCCUUGUGUAAUCUGUAGACUUUGUAUUCUUGAUCUGGAAUUACAAAUCCAGGAGGUUGUACCACAUAUACUUCCUUGUCUAUUGGACCAUUUAAGAAAGCAGAUUUCACAUCCAUUUAAUAAAUGUACCACCUUCUUGAGCUUGCUAUUGCUAUAACAAGUCUUAUGGUUUCUAGUCUGGCCACUGGUGCAAAGACUUCUUCGAAAUCCAAGCCUUGCUUCUGUAGGAACCCUUUUGCAACAAGUCUGGCCUUGUGCUUAGAAACUGAUCCAUCAGGUUUCAACUUCACCUUAUACACCCAUUUGACUAAGAUAGCUUUCUUGUUUCUUGGCAAAUCUGUUAGUUCCCAUGUAGCAUUCUUUUCUAUGGAGUUAAUUUCUUCCUUCAUUACUUCUAUCCAGCACUGCUCUUUCAUUGUUUGAUCAAAGGACAUAGGCUCCAUUUCAGCUAGUAGAGCCAUAUGCACAAAAUCUCCUUCUUGAGUGAUUGCUGAGUCAUCAAGAAGUUCAUAAUCUUUGAGUCUUGAUGGCAAUUGUCUUGCUCUCCGUGGUCUUUCAUUCAAGACAGCUUGAUCCUCAUUACUUAUCUGAGUUUCUUCUUCUGUUUGUGUGUUGUCCAACAUCAUUCUUCCUGAGUUGUUGGGUGUCUCAUUUGAUUCAUUCCAAUCCCAAGCUUCUCCUUCAAUGAAUUUUAAGUCUAUGCUGUAUGAGGUUGUAUUUGUUGUAGGAUUGUAUACUUUGUAGGCCCCUGUAGAAUGGUAGCCUACAAAAAUCAGCCUUUCUCCUCUGUUAUCUAGCUCCCUCUUUUGCUUUCUGGUAUGUGUUUGAAGCAUAUGGAUCCAAACACCUUGAGAUGUUUUACAUUCGGUUUGUGUCCUGUCCAUGCUUCUUCAGGAGUCUUGUUCACCAACCUCUUUGUAGGACAUCUGUUCAGAAGAUAAGUUGUUGUUGAUAUUGCUUCUGCCCAAAACUUCUUUGGAAGUGCCUUGGUUCUUAGCNNNNNNNNNNNNNNNNNNNNNNNNNNNNNNNNNNNNNNNNNNNNNNNNNNNNNNNNNNNNNNNNNNNNNNNNNNNNNNNNNNNNNNNNNNNNNNNNNNNNUCAAUUGGUGUUUCUCCACACCCCUUCAUUUGAUUUAUCAGGCUCCUUAAUCUGUUGAGGUACUCAACUAUGGAUUCUUGCUCAUCCAUUUGCAUCAACUCAUAUUGUCUUUUGAGUGUCAGCAAUCUCACCUUCUUGAUCUUCUUUCCACCAGAAUAGUUCUUCUCCAAUAUCUCCCAAGCUUCCUUUGAACUAGAUGCUCCAGAGAUCUUUUCAAAGUUGGCUUUAUCCACACAUUGGUGGAUCAAGAAGAUUGCCUUGCAAUCUCUCUUGUUUGCUUCCCUAUACUCCAUUGAAUUUUCAUCUACAGUUGGCAUUCCACCUUUCACUACAUCAAGACAUUCUUGAAAUCCAAAGAUUGCCUUCAUUUGAAUGCUCCAAUGUUCAUAAUUCUUCCUAUCUAGGAUUGGAAGAUUCAUUGCAAAGCCAUUCGAAUUUGCCAUUCUUCUACACCUCUAAUUUCCCUUCUGUUUUGCAGCCUUGAUUCUCAAUCCGUGAGCUUCACUUCUUGAAGCCUCUUGCACCCAAUCUUGGCACUACCACAGAUCCCGAUCCUAAAGCUCUUGAUACCACUGUUGGAAUUUAGAAACCAAGUGCCUUUGGUUUCUCUUUACUACAUUACUUGCAGAACACGAAAGAGAAGAAGAAAAGAGAGUGAGUGAAGAAAUCUUGAGAAAAUUAGAGAGGAGAGAAAUUGAGAGAAGAAAAGGAAGAAGGGGAAAGUAAUUCACUGAUUUUUCAAUGUAUUCAAAAUGCACACAUAUAUCAAGCUUGAUCAAUUCUAUUUAAAGAAACUCAUAACUAAUUUAGUUGUUAUGAUUUCUAUUUAUAGUAAUGUGCUAAACUAACUCAAUCAUCCUAUACAAUAAGCUAUGAAUUACAAAAACAAUUACUACAAAAUCAACAAUAGCGAUUGGUUUUACAAAUAAUUAAAUGGAUUUACAUAAAAUAAUGAAAUUAGUAUAUAUACACUAACAGAUAAAUGUUAUGCUGACAUUGUGAAAAAAUUUCACUGAGUGCAUAGAUAUUAAAUUUUAAAAUAAUAUAAAAGAUGAAGAUAAGAUAUUACAAUAUAUCUUGAAUAAAUAUGAUUUUAAUGUGCUUUGCUAAGGGUUUAAUAAACCUUUCUCUCUCUGCAAUUGUGUCGUACUGUUUUAAGGUAAGAGAGUACUGAGACUUCCAUUUUGAACUACUAUUAUGAUAGGAGCUCAGUUGUACGUCUAGUACGAGUGCACCCCAUUAUAUUUCUUUUUACGUAGAAUUGUACAAGUCACUCAUUUUUUGUUUACUUUUUUUUUUUUUUUUUUUUUUUGAAUAAAAUGAUAGGUGAAUUGGGUUAUUACUAGUGUCCACGAUAUUGUAGGUUAUAGGCUAAUUUCUUAGUGGAGUCUGUGUGGGUCCUAAUAUUUUGUGGAUAUGUGAGAGAAAAAAUUAGGUCCUAAUUUAUCAAGCUUCAGUGUUAAUUGUUGAAUAAAAUUGAGGAUUUAAAAUAAAUUGCGGUGAUAAAAUAAAAAUAAGUAUUUAUUGUAUAUUAAAUAGUUUAAUUAUUUAAUAUUUUUAAAAUAAAUUUUGAAUAAAAGAUAUUUUAUACAAUUAGUAAAAACAUAAUAUGUACUUUCUUUUCGGAUUCGAUUAUUGUUGUUUAUUAAAGACUUGAGUCUAAUAUAUUUCUAUGGUGUCAUAUUUUUAAUAAACGUUAAAUGAUAAAAUACUUUUACUUUUUCUCACUUCAACUCACAUACUUAGUUUAAUUACAAUAUAAAAUAAUAAUCAUUAUAACGAACAAAAUAUUGAACGAAUUUAUAUGCGGGGUAAUAAUUAACAAUACAAAAAAAUUUAAAAAAACAUAAAUAGGGGUAAUAAUUGUCAAAUUCAGAUAAAUUGUAUAAGUAAGAAAAAUAUUAUGGACACAUUAAAUAUGAGCAUUGUGUUAUACACUUCACGUGCCAACCUCGAUUGAGGGGUAUAAAUUGUAUUUUAUAACAAUAAUUACAACCAUAAUUAGGGGUGUAAGCCGUUCCAAUUUAAACCGUGAAACCGAUGGAACCGAACCGAACUAAAUCGUAAAAUGUGGUUCAGUUCGGUUUUGCAGUGUGGUUUGGUUAUUUUUUUAAGGAAUCGUUUAUGUUUGGUUCGGUUUAUGGUUUUAGAAAUUUAGGAACUGUUGGAACCGAACCGCAUAUUAAAGAAAUGUAUACAAGGGAAUAAUGUGUUAUAAUUGUUUAAAUUCUUCAAUCAAUUUUCUAGCUUAAGUUAUCAAAUUUUAUGGGAAUUGUAGUGUUAUAUAUGUUACUAAAUUAUUAUUAAGUUUGUAUUAUAUAUGUUAUUAGUUACUAAAUUGUUUCCUAGUGUAUUAUGAUUUGGAACAUAUUUACAAUUUUUGUAAUAUUGAGUUUGAAACUAACAUAUAUCAUAUAUUGUUAUACGUUACAUGUGCUACUAAUUAUGAAAUGUAAGGUUAUAAAUGUAACUAUUAUAUAUUUUACUAAUUCAUAUAUAUGUACAUAAUCAUGAACUUUAUUGUUAUAUAUGAUUCAUAAUUUUUUAUAAUAGUAGUAUUAAUAUUUAUCAUUUUAUGGAUAAACAAUAUCUCUUGUAAUAAAUUUUGAAUUUUCAAUUCAUGGAAGAUUUUUUAUAAAAUAGUAAAUGGAAAAAUCGUGGAAUCGAACCGAACCAUUCAAGAGCGGCUCGGUUCAUUUCGGUUAUAAUAGUUAAAUUUGCGGUUAAUUGAACGGAACCGAACUAUAUGUUUUUGAUCAGUUCGGUCACUAAAAUACACCAAAAACCGAACCAAACUGAAUUUUUACACCCCAAACCAUAAUAUUCCUAUUUUGGUACCAAUAACAUUAAGACCACAUCUUCGUGCAAUAUUUUGCAGUUACCGUGAGUACUACCGCAAUUUAAAACUGUGUACUAAACCAACCUUCUUUUGCUACACCUAAUUUUUGUUAAAAAUAUAGUAGUAGUAGUACUACUCCAUCGUGCUAUAAUACACCAUAUAUCUUGUACUACUUACUUCAGCUUUAAGGAAGUUUUAUUUUCACGGAAGGGGACAUACAUUGCUGAAUGACGAAGCUCACUUAAGGUUGUUGCAUGAAUCCAAUAUUCUAUACGCAAUGGGCUCAUUUUUUACUAGGCUUAUGUUAUAAAUUGCAUUUCAUAAUAUUACAGUUUUGGAAUUCUCCAUAACCAGAUUGUAAUUGUGACCACAUCUUAUAAUAAUUUCCAAAUUGCGGUAAACAUAAAGUAAUUAUAAUAUCGACUACCACCACAAAUUAAAAUAUUAUAUUAGAUCAGCUUUGUUUGGUAUACCCAAUAUAUAUUAAAAAGAUAGUAGUAGUAGUAGUACUCUAUCGUGCUAUUGUACUGCAUACUUCAGCUAUAAGGAAGCAUCAUUUUCAUUAGAGGGGACAGACAUUAAUUGGUGAAUGACAAAGCUCACUUCUCGUUGUUGCAUGCAAAAUAAUUUUCUUCCAACCCAAGAAGUCUUUUAAUAAUUUACAUUAGGAUAACAAAAAAUACUUUUUCAGCUCACCAAAUUACUACAUUUUGGUUAAGAAUACGGAAAAUGUUUUAAUACUCGUGUAGGGCAUUCUCUCCUAUAUGAGUGUAAGUGUGUAACUAAAUAUUGUGAUAUAUUAAUUAUAUUUAAAAAGCUAAUGAUAUUUAAAACCGUAGUAACUAUAACUAUAUAUCAUGGAUGUACAUGUCAAGUAAGUGUUGUAUUCUAAGUGUUCAAACCAUGGAACUCUAAAAUGUAGUCUUACUAUAUCUUUCUAUGUUACACUACCAUCUUGUACUAAAUAAUAGAUAUAGUUCUGCUUUUACGGAAUCAAUAUCAAUUAUAUUCCACUAAGAGAAGACAGCCUUUUGAUGAGUGACGAAUGACGCAUCACACACUUUUGCAUGCACAAAUAUUUCUUUGACCCGUCUUUUAAUUUUCUGAACGAGAUUUAUUUAUUUAACUUUCCACUCUGAUAGAUAUUGAUGAGAAUUUGAGAUAUUAAUGUUACGUGUGGGAGUUAUAAGGAAAAGAGAAGAAGAAGAAUCAAAAGUAAGGAAGGGAGAGAAAUGGGAGUUAAAAAGAAGGUAAUUAUUUUUCUUGUUUUGGAAUAUAAAAUUUAGAUAGUGUUAAUUAAUAAUGAUGUUAGAAUAUUUUUUAUUUUUCUUUUAAAAAUAUAAUUAACCAAUGAAAAAUGAAAAAUAAUAUAUAAUUCUAUAAUUUUAUUAAAAAUAUUUAGGCAUUAUUAUAUUUUGUCUCCAAAAACCUCAAAUUGAGGGAGCUAUAAAAUAGAUAUAUGGAUGAUUUUAGAGGGUUUCUAAAACCAUCUUUUCCAUUCCCUUUUCCUCCAAAAUCAUACUCCCAAAUAAACCCUAAGGGACUAAGAAGGGGAUGGCAGAAGAAAGAAAAGGAAGGCAAAUAAAUUAAGUUAAACAUUUUUUUUGUUCGGGAAUAUAAAAUUUAGAUAUCAGAAAAGUAAACUAAUUAAUAAUAGUGUGGGAACAUUUUUUAUUUGUGAUUUAGUUAUGUUUGAGAGUUUGGUUUUGAAGAGAAAUGAAUGACUUUGGAAAGUAUUUUCAUUGUUUGAGAGUUGGAUGAAGGAAAGAUAAAUAUUUUGAAAGUUUUCUUAAACCCCCUAAAAUUUGUUCACGUGCUUAUUCUCACUGUUCCUUCAAUCUGGGGGUUUUGUGACAAAAUGUUAAAAUACUUAAAUGAUUUUAGUAAAAUUAUUAAUUACAUUAUUGCAUAUUCUGAUUGUUAAUUAUAUUUUUAAAUGAAAAAUAAAAAAUAUUAUUCCAUAAUCAUUAUUUUUAUCAUCUUCCACAUACUCCUAAACAAAGGAGAAGUUUAACAUGAUUUGCAUUUCUUUUUCAUUCCCUUCUUUCCUCUUCCUAGCUUUUGGAUCCCUCUCAUUCAUAACUCUCAAACAUAGCCUUAAAAGUUUAAUUAACAAUGGGAAAUAAACAUAAUGUAAUUAUAUAAUUUUACUAAAAAUAUUUAAGUAUUUUGAUAAUUUGUUUCCAUAAAAUCUCAAAUUUAGGGAACCAUGAAAAUAUGUAUGUGGAGGGUUUUAGAGGACUCGAGAAAUCCUUCAAAAUAUUUUCUUUUUUUUAUCUAACUUUUAAACAAGAGAGAGGUUUUUCAAAGUCAUAUAUUUUCUUCCCUUCCAAAACCAGGCUCCCAAUAUAAGAGACUUUAUAAAAAAAGGAUGUGAGUGGAGAAGGGAGCUCAAUCUAUCAAAUCAAAUAUGUUUUAGUUUUAAAAGUGAAAAGUAAAAAAAAUCAAAAUUUAAAAUUUAAAAAUAUAGAUAAAGUGAUCACCUAUUUUAAAGUUAUGUUAAGAUUUCAAUUGUGUCAUAUAAAAUCACUCUAAGUUGAUUAAUGAUAGAAUGGCAUAAUUUCCAAUAUAUUCCCUUUAUUCCUUACCUUUUGUUGCUUAAAGCUUUUUCUUCAAAACUUUUGUUUUUUUACAAGUUCUAGGAUUAGUCAAACAAAUUCCUUCAAUUCUAUUUUCAUUAUAUAAUUAUACUUAUCACUAACUAAUUAUAUUUUUUAUCCAAAUAAAUAUAAUUGUUAUACUAUUUAACAUUUCUUAUUUUUUGUGCAUUAACUUUAAAUAACAAAAUAUAUAUAUUGGAUGGAGUAAUAAAUAAAAUUUAAAAUAAAAAGGAGAAAAAAUUUUAGUUGCCAUCCCCUCUGGAGCCCUCUUGGGUAGCUUCAUUGUAAAUAAGGAGAUUAGUUCAUAUUGUUAGUUUCAUUAAUGUGUUAAGAAUUAGAUAUAUUUUGACAAAAUUAUCCUUCAUUAUUAUGACCCACUCAUUUUCUCUUUUCACUCCAUGUUAAUUUAUAAGGAUGUUUUGGUAAGAAAGUUAACUAAUACACUUCAAAUUUUUGAACGAGUCUUAUAAAAAAAUCAAAAUCAAAAUCAAACUUUGAAAGAGUUUUUUUGUACUACCAAAAGUAUCCCCUCACCUUUUUAGGUAAGGAGUUAAUUCCUUUCGAGGUUCAUGACUGUCUCUCCCAACAAAUGUCGAUGUUAGGAAUCAAACCCUCAACUUUGGGAUCUAGUAAGCCUUACACCACUAGACCAACACAUUAUUGAUAUCUUUAAAACAGUUUCAUAAAAACUAGUGGAUAUUGCAUUUUAUUAAAAAUUAGCAAAAAUAACAUUAAAAACCUUGUAUAUCAAUUAGCGAUCUCAAUCACCGAAGUUGCUUAAGGAUUAAAAUUAGGGCAUGUAACCGUAUGAUGAAUAAGAUAAGAGAAAAGGAUUAUGAUAGUUUAUCCUAUUACAAUGGAGAGUUUGGUAUAUUAGUAGAAUAGAAUUAUCUUUUGACAUAUUUUAUCAUAUUCACAUGGUGUAUUUUCUAUUCUAUGGGUAGGAGUUGAGUUGGAUAUAAGAAGUGUAGGAUAGUGCAUUUUUUCUCUCAUAACCUCACAUCAUUGUUGAGUUAGAACGUCCAAUAUUAAAAUAUAAGGUAAUUGGGGAAAUAUUAUUUUUAAUAUUAUUUUUAUUUUUACAAAUAAUUUAAAAUCUUAACCUUUGAAAUUUUAUGAUUUUUAUCUAUAACAUGUAUCUUCAUUUGUAUCUCAUCAUUAUAACUACUAUUAGCACUGCCAAUAUUUUUCACCGCCACACUUUUUAUUAACAAUGAAAACUUUAUUAAUCAAGAGAUAAAAAUAUUAGGAGAACAAGAGGUACACUUAUCUAUUGAAUCGAUGUAAUUAACAAAGAGAAAGACAAAUUGAUGAAUGUAUCAUCCAAUCAACAUAAGAGUAAGAAAACAAAGGAAAACAAACAAUAAUAAGGUUACAUGAAUACAGAAAAAUAAGCUUUAUCAUCUCCUCUAUUUGGAACCUCAAAUUCUCAAUGAUAACUUUGUUUCUAAUAAGUCAAAUAGUCCAAAUUGUGAAAAACAAAAGACGCAUCCACAACUAUUUUUUCUUAUUUCUCCAAUUAUAUCAUGUUUUCAUGAAAUGCAAAAAGAGUCAUUACAUCAUUAUGAUAGAUGUAAGAUCAAAACAAGAAUAAAGCUUUUGUCAAACAAAAUAUGAUAUUGAUCAAGAAAAAACAAGUGACUAAUAGUUUCCUCCAACUCACCACAAAUUCACCACCACGUGCCCCACAGUUUGAAUUUAUUAUAUAUUUAUAAGAAUUGUUGAUUUAUAGGAUAGAAAUUUAAUAAAGUUUUAUAUUGAUGGUAGACUAACAUAAGUUUUAUAUUUUAUCUAGAUUUAGGACAAGUUAUAUAUAAUAUCAAGUACAUCUAACCAAAUUUAAAUUAUAAGUUGAAAUGAUUAAGAAAGACUUAUAGACAAUCCUUUAUUUAUCUAGUAAGUUAUAGGUUUGAUUGUUGUCGUUAACAUGUUGAGUGGCACUCUCGUGCAUAUCAACCUGUAUUCUUAUGGUUUAAUAUUGCUUACAAUCGUUAUCAUUCCAAAAAGAAUAAGUCAAUAAUUUUUUAUUUGAUUAUAUUUUAACACUUCUUCAAAAAAGUGUCAACUUUCUUAAAAGGGGGCAAAAACAAUGUUGGUUCAAAUGAAAUGGAGAAAUAUUUAUUCAACUGCAUAAAAAAUGUUUCAAGCAUUAAUUCAUUUUUGUUGGUAGCCGCAUGUAUAUAACAUGACAUGAUUGUCUUUUUAUUAGCAAGAGAAUAAAGAUGAAAGAAUUGUCAAUUAUAUAUAUAUAUAAAUAAACUAUACUUUAUAUUUAAAAGUUAAAGUUAAUCAACAUUUUAUUUAUGUAUCUAAUCUACAAAACCCAAAGUGUGAAAAGAAAUAGUAGUUGUUUUGGAGAAGUGAAAAUAAAAUUACUUUAUAUUCAAGUUUUAUAUAUUUUAUUUUAGAGAAUUAUAAUAUUUUGAGUAUAUUUUAUACUGUAUUUUUAUUGAGAUACUUUAUAUUAUAAUUUUUUUGUUUUAUUAUAAUAUUUAACUUAAAGUGAGAUAAGUGGUUAAUAGGUUAGUGGUGGUUACAUAUGAUUAUAUAAUUUUUUUAUAGAAAUUAAAAAGUUUAAGAGCAAAAUAGGAAAAGUAAAUUAUAUCACCAUGAUAGUUAUACCAUAUUUUGCCUUUAUAUAUAGUAUAAAAGUAUAAAUAACAUUUAUUUUUACUUAUUUUUCUUAGUUUAUAUCGGGGAAACUUGUUAUUCAUGUUAGAUAUUUUAUUAUAUUCAGUUUAUGUGUUGUGUUAGUAGUUUAUGAGUAGUUUAGCAAGUUACCUCCACUUUAGAGGAAGUUAUGUAUGUAGUUUGUGAAACUGAUUGUAACCUCUUUACUUUGCCUAUUUUAAGGCUGCCAUCUAAUGCAUAAUAUACAUCAGUUUACAAUUUACUCUUCCUAACAUUGGUAUCAAGAGCCAGAAAAGAAAAAAAACAUAUAAACAGUGAGUGCAGCCACAGUAGCCCAUGACAGAGAAGAAAAUUUUUCCACCAUAGUGUUAUAUUGCCUCCAAACCACUGCAGAAACAGAACUGCAAAAUUUUUAAAGGCAUAUUUUAUUUCCAGUGCAGAAAUAGAAUUGCAAAUUUUUUUUCUGCAACAAUUUUUUUUUCCAGUACCACAAACAAAAUUAUAGUAAGUUAAGACAAUGGCUACUGAUAAUUUUGUGCAACCAGCUAUUCCACGUUUUGAUGGUCACUAUGAGCACUGGAGCAUGUUGAUGGAAAAUCUCUUAAGGUCCAAGGAGUAUUGGCAAGUGGUUGAAGAUGGUGUUGCAACACCAGAAGAAGGCAAGGAACUUACUCUUGCACAAAACAGAGAGCAUGAUGCAAUGAAGUUGAAAGACUUGAGAGCCAAAAAUUUCUUAUUUCAAGCAAUUGAUCGCUCUAUCCUGGAAACCAUUCUUUGCAAAGAUACUUCCAAGGAUAUUUGGGAUUCAAUGAAGAUGAAAUAUCAAGGUUCCUCUAGAGUCAAAUGUGCUCAACUUCAAGCCUUGAGAAGGGACUUUGAAACUUUGCAAAUGAAGGAAAGUGAGUCAGUUACUAAUUAUUGUUCAAGGGUCAUGGGAAUUGCAAACAGCAUGCGAAUUCAUGGAGAAAAUAUGGGAGACACCCUCAUUGUUGAAAAAAUUCUACGGUCACUCACACCAAAAUUUGACUAUGUGGUGUGUUCAAUUGAAGAGUCCAAUGACACUGAUGAACUCUCCCUUGAUGAACUUCAAAGUUCAUUAUUGGUUCAUGAACAAAAGAUGUACAGAAGUUCAACAACGGAUGAACAAGCAUUGAAGGCUUCUACCAAUACCCAUUUCAAUAACUUCAGAGGAAGGGGUAGGGGUAGAGGUAGAGGACACGGAGGUCGAGGAAAUAGAGAUUCCAGCAGGUACUUUAAAGGCAAUCCUCACCAACAACAAGAAAGAGGUAGAAUUUAUGAAAAGUCCAAGCUAGAGUGCUACAAAUGUCAUAAGUUUGGUCAUUAUGCCUCUGAGUGCUACACAAAAUUGCCUAAAUACAAAGAAAAAGGAGAAAUGUCUAACUUUUUAGAGGAGAAGGAAGAAGAAACAUUGCUGAUGAAAUCUCAUGAGAAAUUCCAAUCUGAUGUAUGGUAUGUUGAUUCUGGUUGUAGCAACCACAUGUGUGGAAGUAAGUCAUCUUUCUCCUAUUUAGAUGAAAACUUUCGAUCUAAAGUGAGUUUUGGUGAUUGUUCUACUGUAAAUGUGAUGGGAAAAGGAGAUAUUAAAAUUCAAACCAAGAAUGGUUUGGUGGAAACCAUCUCUAAUGUAUUUUAUGUUCCUGACUUGAAAAGCAAUUUGUUGAGUGCUGGCCAAUUGCAGGAAAAAGGUUAUAUAAUAACCAUACAAAAAGAUGCUUGUGAAAUAUAUGAUCCUAUCAGAGGAGCCAUUGCAGUUGUUGAAAUGAGUUCUAACAGGUUGUUUCCAUUGAAGAUUCAAAGUGCACAAACAUGCUUGAUGAGUGAAGUGAAGGAUCCCUCAUGGCUUUGGCAUUUUCGCUAUGGCCACUUAAAUUUCAAUGGAUUGAAGACUCUUCAGCAGAAAAACAUGGUGGUAGGUCUUCCACAAAUAGUCAAUCCAUCUCAAAUUUGUGAAGAAUGUGUUGUUGGCAAACAACAUCGUUCNNNNNNNNNNNNNNNNNNNNNNNNNNNNNNNNNNNNNNNNNNNNNNNNNNNNNNNNNNNNNNNNNNNNNNNNNNNNNNNNNNNNNNNNNNNNNNNNNNNNGUGGUGGUGAAUACAACUCACAAGAAUUUGCAUAUUUUUGUGACGCACAUGGAAUCAAGAGGCAACUUACAGCAGCUUACACACCACAACAAAAUGGCAUUGCAGAAAGGAAGAAUCGAACAAUCUUAAAUAUGGUUCGAACCAUUUUGAAGAUGAGUGGAGUGCCAAGAAACUUUUGGCCAGAAGUUGUAAAUUGGAGUAUUCAUUUGUUGGACAGAAGCCCCACCUUUGCUGUAAAGAACAUGACACCAGAAGAAGCAUGGAAUGGACACAAGCCAAGUGUUGAGCAUUUCAGAAUUUUUGGUUGCAUAGCUUAUGCCCAUGUUCCAUAUCAGAAAAGGAAGAAGCUUGAUGAUAAGGGUGAAAAGUGUGUUUUCCUUGGUGUUAGUGAAGUCUCCAAAGCAUAUAAGUUAUACAAUCCUCUCACUAAAAAGAUUGUAACAAGUAGAGAUGUCAUCUUUGAUGAAGAAAGAUCUUGGGAGUGGAAUGGACAACAAACUACUCCAAAUACUUCAGAAUUUGGACUUGAAGAAGAAGAACAAGAAAAUGUGCAGCAGCCUUGUACAAAUAAUUCACAAGUUGAACAUGAAGGAGAAGAAAAAAUUGCAACACCAACAAGAGCAGAAACUUCAACAGAUGCAUAUGUUGAACCUCCUAGAAGUCGCAUUCGAAAGAGGCCAUCUUGGAUGGAAGAUUUUGAGGUAACUGGAAUUAAUCAAAUUGAUGAUCCUGUUACUCAUUUUGCAUUAUUUUCAGAUUGUGAUCCUACAACAUUUGAGAAUGCCGCCAAGGAAGCAAAAUGGCAAAAGGCAAUGGAUGAAGAAAUUGAAGCCAUAGAAAGAAAUCAUACAUGGGAGCUUGUUGAUCUUCCAGUUGGGCAGAAAACUGUUGGUGUAAAAUGGCUUUUCAAAACUAAAAGAAAAGAAGAUGGUGAAGUUGACAAGUAUAAGACAAGAUUGGUGGCAAAAGGAUAUAAGCAAGAAUAUGAUGUGCACUAUAAAGAGGUGUACGCUCCAGUUAUAAGACAGUAUACCAUCAGAUUGGUGAUUGCCAUGGGAGCUCAAAACUCAUGGCCUACAUAUCAAAUGGAUGUUAAACAUCAUUCCUUUAUGGAACCUUGGAUGUGUAGGUAUUUGUUGAUCAACCCAUUGGCUAUAUUAAAGUUGGAAAUGAACAUAAAGUGUAUAGAUUGAAGAAAGCACUUUAUGGACUAAAACAAGCUCCAAGAGCUUGGUAUAGUCGAAUAGAGGCAUAUUUUUUGAAAGAAGGAUUUAAUAAAUGCCCAUAUGAGCACACACUCUUUGUUAAAGUUGGAUCUGAAGGAAAAAUACAUAUUGUUUGCUUAUAUGUUGAUGGCCUUAUAUUUACUGGAAAUGAUUUGGGAAUGUUUGAAAAGUUCAAAAAGUCUAUGAUGAUUGAGUUUGAAAUGACUGAUCUUGGNNNNNNNNNNNNNNNNNNNNNNNNNNNNNNNNNNNNNNNNNNNNNNNNNNNNNNNNNNNNNNNNNNNNNNNNNNNNNNNNNNNNNNNNNNNNNNNNNNNNAGUUUAUGUGUUGUGUUAGUAGUUUAUGAGUAGUUUAGCAAGUUACCUCCACUUUAGAGGAAGUUGUGUAUGUAGUUGGUAAAACUGAUUGUAACCUCUUUACUUUGCCUAUUUUAAGGCUGCCAUCUAAUGCAUAAUAUACAUCAGUUUACAAUUUACUCUUCCUAACAAUUCAACCCAUCUUAGUCAUAAACCAUAAAUAAGCAAAAAUAAUUCUAACCAAACAUCACUAACAAUGAAAAUCUAAUAUGUUUGGUUCAAUUUUAUCCUUUGGAUUUUUCUCAUGUGGAACUUUUGACACUAGAUAGCCAACUUCAUAAUUGUUUUGGUAAUGUAAGAUUUGAUAGUAUUUUAUAAUUGGGAGUAAUUACUACUUUUUAAUAAAACUCGUGAAAUUGAGAGAUAUAUGAUUGAAUGAUUAUCUAUUACUCUAUUGUAAAAUAUUCUUUUGAUUGUAUUGAAAUGAAAAUAACACUCAAUAUUUCUAAAAUAUGAGUUAAUUAUAAAAUUUUGAUGGUUUUUCCUCUUUUAUAUCUCAUUCAUGUGAUGCUAGCUAGUUAUUAUUGUGUUUUAUACAGCCCGUGACUAAUGUAUUAUAAAAAACUAUAAUAUAUUUUAAUGGUAUAAAUUUAAGUAUUUGUCAUUUCACUACUUAAAGUUUAGUAUAAUAUUUAUACAUUAUUACUAAAAAGAUUUAUACAUAAUUAACAUAUAAUUUACCAUUCAAUUGUAUAUAUUAUUUAUUUAUAUAAGUUAAUGAAUAUAAAUAUAAAUAAUACAUGAUUGAUAUGUAAAAAACUCUUCAACCCUACCUACAUAAAUAUUUUUCUCUAAAAUUUAUGGGUUUGUCAUAGAGAUUGAUCUUACAUCCGUGAUACGUGGAUAGGAUUAUUAUUUUUGUUAACUAAUUAAGAAUUAUGGAGAAGGACCCACUUUCUUAACAAAAUUCUGUUAAAAUAUAUGUAAUAAAUAAUAAAUCAAACUUCAUAAAAUAAUAUUACAAUAUUAAUUUUUAUUUUUAUAAUUUUUGUUUUAAUUAAAUAAAAUUUUCUAAUGAGAAAUUAAGAUAUAGAAAUGUGAUCACAUCCAAGAAUACUUGACAUCCUUGUUGGUUGGCCUACCACACCAAAACAUUUACCAAACGGAACCACUAAUUAGUGAUUUCUUUUUGUUAGAGUAUCCUAUUCCUUCUCUAGUGCUCUUCUCUCUUCUCUUCCACCACACCCAUUUCUCAUAGUGGGUUUUGGCUAUAAAGGUACCACCCCAAUAACCAUAACUCUUCAUUCCAACACAACCCAAAAAUUCUCAUCACUUUCUUGCACUACUCAUAGCAAUGACUUCUCAGGUGCUGAACCCUUUCGCUCCUUUCUAUUUAGUUUUUUAUGUUUCAUCAUUUUUAGUUCUAUUUUCUUUGUCCUAGAUGGUUAUACUAAACUUAUGACUUUAUGAGUUGAGAAAGAAGUAUAUUAGUAGUUAUCGAGUUUGAAUUAGCUUUAGAAUUAGAAGGUUCAACUUUUUUGCCUAUGAAGGUUUUAAAUUGUGAUCAUAGUUGCGAUUACAUUGAGGUUAAUGAAAUUGCGGAUUAUUGCGGGAAAAUAUGGUAGCAAUUGUAGAGACUACCAAAACCAUAAUGUUGCAACUUAAUUUAUUGUCGAGGAUUGGGAUUUAAAACCUCGUGCCUAUGAUAUAUCUUAAAUCCAAGUAUACAAGCUUUGUUUUAGAUGUGGUUUUUGGAUAUUGGAUUAAUCUGAGAACAUUCGCUUUUCUCUGCUCUUUUAAUCUGAAAACAUUCUCACUAUGAUUGCAGACUGUUGUCCUCAAAGUUGGUAUGUCAUGUCAAGGAUGUUCUGGAGCAGUCAAUAGGGUAUUGGGAAAAUUGGAAGGUAUAUUUUAUAACUAGAUCAAAAUGUCUGUGACUCUUUGCUAUAAGAUUCAAUAUGACAUUGCUUUAGCAAUUGUGACAAUAUAUUAUCUUACAAGUUGAUCUUAUAUGCUUCAUUUGCUUUCUUUUUUAUUUUUAUCAAUCAAGAUAUUCUGUGCUCCUCAAAUCAUUAGAUAUAUGCUCUCACAUGAGUUAAGUGAGAAGAACAUGUUAAGGUUAUCUGUAUUGUUUAAUAGCUAAAAGAUCUUGUUAAUGUUCCUUAUUGUCUCUAUUGGGUUGUGAUUGUAUAAUUUUGUGUUUUCUGUCUAUAAUGAACUCUUUGACAUCAAUAUUAUCCGGCACAUGUUCAUCAUUUUGAAGACUAUUUGCUUACUUAUCUCCACAAUUGUGUGUAUAUCUUCAUACCGGAUGAAAAACUAGAUAUCAUGAAUUAAAAUUAUAUAAGGAAACAAUAUAAAUAUGAAGUUAAUUUGCUUCUAUGGUUUUCCUUCCCUCGGUAAAAGAAUAUGACUAAAGCAAAUGUGCCAAAUCAAAAUCUUAUUGCAGUUCCUGCAAGAUAAUACAAAGCAAAGUUCCUCUUGCAAUGUUGUAUCUUAAUAACAUGUCGGCAUUUGCAGGUGUAGAAUCAUAUGACAUUGAUUUGAAGGAACAGAAAGUGACAGUGAAAGGAAAUGUAGAGCCAGAGACGGUUCUGCAGGCUGUUGCCAAAACUGGGAAGAAGACUGCCUUCUGGGAGGAAGAAGCUCCAGUAGCUUCGGUCGAGUCUGAAAACAAGCCUGCAGAAACUGCGGCAGCUGCCUCAGCUGAGUCUGAAAACAAGUCUUCAGAAACUGCAACUGUUUCCUCAGCUGAACCUGAAAACAAGUCUUCAGAAACUGCAGCUAUUGCCUCAGCUGUGCCUGAAAACAAGCCUUCAGAAUCUGCACCUGUUGUGGCAUAAGAGACAUCUGUGGUUCUAUUCUAUUCCUAUGUGGAAGUAGGUCUUUGUAUCAAAUAGUAUUUGAUGGACUUGCAAUAGCUAAGCAUGUCUUCUGAUAUAUUUGGCGUGUUGUUACUUUUUAUACCUGUGUUUUAAAUUGUAGUGGUGGUUAUGUUGUGUUUACCACAAUUGCAGCCAGAAGUGUGGUUGCAGUGCUGUUCUGGAGACUCCGAGACAGCAAUAUUGCGGCCGCAAAUGCAGUUGCGGAGCACAAUUUAAAACACUGUAAACUACAAUAACUUGUGGCCUAGUUUUCUCAUGUGAUCAUUUUAGUGUGAUUAAAAUAAGAAUUUAACUUGUUUCUUACUACUGAUUUCAUUAUCAUCUCUCUUUUUACUUUGCUACCACUAUGCUAUGGUCCCGUUUGGAAGAGUGUAUUCAGUUU